AAUCAUAGAAUUGUAGAGUUGGAAGAGAUCCUGAGGGUCAUCAGUCCAACCCCCUGCAAUGCAGGAAUCUCAACUACAGUAUCAGUUACAAAUGGCCAUCCAACCUGUGCUUAAAAACCCCCAAGGAAGAAGAGUUCACCACUUUCUGAGGGAGUCUGUUCCACUGUCAAACAGGUCUUACUGUCUGAAAGUUCUUCCUGAUGUUUAGUCAGAAUCUCCUUUCUUCACUUGAAGCCAUUGGUUCGGGUCCUACCCUCUGGAACAGGAGAAAACAAACUUGCUCCAUCUUCCAUGUUACAGCCCUUGAGAUAUUUGAAGAUGGCUUCCAUAUCUCCUCUCAGUCUCCUCUAUAUCGGGCUAAACAUAUCCAGCACCCUCAACUGUUCAUCAUAAGGCUUGGUUUCCAGACCCUUUGAUCAUCUUGGUCUCCCUCCUCUGCACACAUUCCAGCUUUUCAAUAUUCUUAAAUGGGAGCACCCAAAACUGGACACAAUAUUCCAGGUGUGGUCUGACCAAGGCAGAAUAGAGUGGUACUAUUACUUCCUUUGAUCUGGACACUGUAUUUCCGUUGAUGCAGCCUAGAAUAGAAUUAGUUUUUUUGACUGCUGCAUCAGACUGUUGACUCAUAUUAAGCCUGUGGUCUACUAAGACUCCUAGAUCCUUUUCACAUGUACUACUGGCAAGCCAGGUGUCCCCCCAUCUUAUAUUUGUGCAACUGGUUUGCUCUGUCUAAGUGUAGAACCUUACAUUUGUCCCUAAUGAAUUUCAUUUUGUUCAUUUGGGUCCAGUUCUCCAUUCUGUUACGGUAAUCUUGAAUCCUGAUUCUGUCUUCUGCGGCACUACCUACCCCUCCCAGUUUGGUGUCAUCUGCAAAUUGGAUGGGCAUUCCCUCAAUUUCUUCGUCCUAGUCAUUUAAGAGUCAGCAAUGUUCUCAAGUUCUUAAGAGUGUUGUGGAGACAGGCUGCUUUGUGCAAACCUCUGCCUUUAUGUGCAAAAUGUUAUUUCCCCAUAUUGUUAUGAUAAUGAUCUCAUGGCAGUUCACAACAUAAAAAUACAAGAUAAAAAAACACAAAACACAUAAUAAAAACAAAACCCAGUAACAUCCCCUUCCCCUCAAUAGCUUCACUUCCCCAGAGUUGUCCCUUUUGAGUUCUUAAGAGUGCACGAAAUUGACCAGGGAGAUACAACCCCAUGUUCUACACUAUUUUCUGAGUUGCAGUCUUGCUGUGUGGGGUUUAUAUUAAGGUGGUGAUGUGCUGUGACUUGAUGGGGCACUGAGUUACACCAUAUCCUAUGUUUUGUCACAGUGAUAAUGGCAGAGUGGUUGCUGAUACAGGGUGGCUUUCCCUCCCAUUGAUGUCAAUGGGGCAAUGACUUCCCUGUUAUACAAAAAGUUAAUAAAUGUGUCUUUUGGUUCCAACCAAAGGCUUUGGUGGAAACUUAACUGGAAUGCUCUGUUUGAAGAAGAACUGUGUAAUGGGUUAUGGGCUUAAGGCUCUUUACAAGUCAUUGUCAGCUCAGAUGAAGGAGCUUUUGCUAAAAGUGGCCCAUGGCUGGGAACUUAUCCUGAGGAAGCUCUGUUUCAUACAACCAGGCAAUUGACCCAUGUGUUGGAGAGGAUACUUGUAUAUAGAUGUGGAUAGAGGUAUAAAAAAUAAAUAACUCAUUUCAUACCUAUUAAUGGUGGCAAGAGCAACUGUGGCAAAAUUCUUUGGAAGACAUUUGAUUUAGACAACUUAGAUUACUGGUAUUCAAAAGUCUAGCAAAUUGCUGUUCUAGAAAAGAUUUCCUACAAGCUGAAAGUGGCAAGAAGAUAUACUGCAGGAUACUGAUUCCUCCAGCCCCCCAGUAUGGCAUGAUUUUAUUUUAUUUAAAAAUGAAGAAGUCCUUGGCCAUAUGUUUAUUUCAAGGUGUGGAUUUUGUGAGAUCACCCAAACCCAAUUUUUGUGGAUAUAUGAAAUUACAAGCAAUUCUGGUAAUUCUGAUGGAUAUUGAUAUUGGAUUGUUCUGCAGGAUAAUUGAUAUAAUAUGCAAAAGAUGGAAAUUAUUUUGAUUCAACAUUGGUAAUUUAACAGCUGUCCAAUAAAUGAUUAGUUUUUGUGCUUAUUUCCUAUCUGUCCUUGUAGAUAAGGAUUACAUUUUCUUGGUGAGAGAAAAAAGUUAACACUCAUUGAUAAAGGAAUCUUUUUGAUAGUGGCUGGAUGACGCUGAGAAAAAUAAUGAUAAGCCAAGUCUAAUUUCAGCUACGUAGAGUUCAUUCAUGAUAAAAGUAUUUAUAGAAACCAAUUCUUUGUUUCUGUAAGAAAAAAAAAAGACCCCUAAAAUUAUAAUUUUUGAUGAAGAAUGAGAGCAGACAUUUCUGAGUCCAUCAUAAAUCCCAGAGCUGAUAGAAUACACAUUGAGAAUAUUACACACACACACACACACACACACACACACACUUCUGAACUUGCUGCCAGCACAAUAAUCUUAGAGUCAAAGAGUAAUCUAUCCCUAAGUGUCUUAAUAAUGAAAAUAGUUGUCUGAUAAGCAUAACACUGGAUGCCUAGUGCUAGAGUAAGGAAUAUGUUGAAAGGAUUUAAAUUAAAUUAGUUUUUUUUAAAAAAAAAGCUUAUCUUGAUUGACAUUGUUGAAUGAAGCUCUAUUUUAUGAUUUAAUGCUAACAAAAAUUUGUGGAAAGAAAGGCCCUCUUUAAGGAAAAGUAAAAGAAAACAAUUACCCCAGUGCAAAAAGCUAUUUAUUUAUUUAUUGUUUAGUAUAUUUAUUUGUCACUUAUUCUAAAAAUGACUCCAACUUACAAUGUGAAAACAAACUUUAAAACCAUGUAUAAGAACGAGAAUAAAGUAAGAACUUAAAAUGCUCAUCCAAAAUAUGUAUAAAAGAGCUGAUUCAGUUGAACCCAUCCUACUAAAAAUGAUGAGCAGAAGAAGAGUGUGCAAACAUACCUAAGUAAAGGUAAAGGGACCCCUGAUCGUUAGGUCCAGUUGUGGAUGACUCUGGAGUUGUGGCUCUCAUCUCGCUUUAUUGGCCAAGGGAGCCGGCGUACAGCUUCCAGGUCAUGUGGCCAGCAUGACUAAGCUGCUUCUGGCGAACCAGAACAGCACACAAAAACUCCGUUUACCUUCCCACUGGAGCGGUACCUAUUUAUCUACUUGCACUUUGGGCUUUCGAACUGCUAGGUUGCGGGAGCUGGGACCAAGCAAUGGGAGCUCACCCCGUCACGGGGAUUCGAACCACCGACCUUCUGAUUCGCAAGCCCUAGGCUCUGUGGUUUAACCCACAGCGCCACCCACAUGCCUUAAACAUACCUAAGUACCCUCCAAAUUAGGACCAAGACUGGGCCUUAAAAAUGUUUUUGUCUGGUGCCUAAAAGCAACGAAUGAUGAUGCCAGGUGUACCUCUUUGGGGAGAGCAUUCCACAAAUGAGGAGCCACCAUUGAGGCGGCUCCCCCUCCAAAACCCCCAUUCAAUAUCAUACUUAUAAAGGGACUCCAUUUAUAAAGAGAUUCCUGUGGGGUUCCACUGAUGGAUUCAUACAAGUAUCAUAACUGCAUGAGGACAUGAAUGCAUGUAGGGAAGGUGUGGAAUCUACAGCUGAUAUGCCCUCAUUUCCCUGACACAUUCAUGAUCCCCAUUUUGAAUGCUUAGAAGCAGCAAGGGUUACUUCCAUGAGAUCUGUUGAGCACCUUUCUAAGACAAUUCUAAAAGGUAAAAAAUUGUCAUUUUCUGACUAGUGGUCAUAAUGUAAAGUUACCAGAUUUUUUUUCAAUGAAUCCGGGGACACUUUUCAACUUCAAUGGAUUUUGUAUGGGGACUGAUUUGUAAAUCCAGGGACUAUCCCCGGGAAACGGGGAUGUCUGGUAACCUUAUCAUAAUGUGUUAUGCAAAAUCUCCCUUGUUACAGUAGCCAGCACUUAAUGUAGCCUGCAAGCCAAGGCUCACACACUUUUUUUAUUUGUUGCAUUUUUAUCUAAUCCUUUUAUCUAAGGUGCUCCAGGCGGCAUACAUGGUUCUUUCCCUCCUCAUUUAAUCCCUGCAACAAACCUGUGAGGUAGAUUUGGCUGAGAGACAGUGACUGGCCCAAGGUAAUACAGUGUGCUUCCAUAAUGGAAUGUACGGGUGUGGGACAUCCAUAUCCACAAGUUUGAAUCAGCCUCAGCCUGUGGGAGCAGAAAAGUAGGAUUUCCCCGCUCUACAUCCUUUAACAGUCCUUUGCCUUAGAGGGGCUGGGACCCAGUGGCAACUUUGAAAAUAUAUGUGCUGACAGAAUGCACUUAUUGUAUAUGGAAAAGGUAAUAAAUUCAGCCGGAAACAUUGUAUUAUACCUGCCAGGAGAAGGCUGUUGUUUUCAUGCCGUGCUUGGGAACUUCCAAGAGGCAUUGACUAUACACUGUUGGAAACAGAACACUGGACAACAGGGACUUUUGGUCUGAUAUAACAGGGCUCUUACAUUAUUAUACUGAGGUUAGUAUUAUAUAGUUUAUUUUCCCCAUAAUAUACUUUCAUUCAGAUUUUGGAUGCCAGUAAAGAACUGAACAAUUAAUCCACACCCUUCGAGCCUUCCAUUGGGAACUAUGGUUCCAGUCCAGCCAGUUAUAAAAAUCUGUUAUUCUGCCAGAGCAUAUUCUAGCUUGGUGUAUUUCAGAAAGAAUAUUGUAGAGCUGGACAAGGUGCAGAAAAGGGCAACCAAAAUGAUCGAUGAAAUAUAACACUGGGUUCAUUAAAGCUUUCUUUUAAAUGCAAAUAUAGGAGGAUGUAAUAGUGUAUAAAAUGAUUCAUAGUCUGGAGAAAAUGCACGGAGUGACGUUUUAUUUUCCUCUUUUGAUACUUGAAACUUGGAUCAUUUAGUUGGGAGAUUCAUGGCAGAAAUUCUUCAUACAGUGCAUAGUUAACUCAUGGAAUUAAUUGCCACAAGAUGUGAUUAAGGCUGGCAACUUGAAUGGCUAUCAAUGGCUGUUAGUGACAAUGGCUGUAUACUACAUCCAGGGAAGAACAGCAGGAGAGGACUAUUGUGCUCAUGUCCUGCUUGACAGCUUCCCAGAGGUAUGUGAUCGGCCUCUGUGGGAAACAGUAUGCUGGCCUAGAUGGGCCUUUGGUCUGGUCCAUCAGGUUUGUUUUUACAUUCAGUUCCUUAAUUACACUAUUAAAAAAGGGGAAGCUACUGGACUUCAGCUGCCAUAAGCCGCAGCCAGUAUUGUCAAUGAUGAUGGGCAUUGUAGUCCAACGACAUCUGGAGGGUACCAUGUUGCCUAGGUCUGCUACAAACAUUGCUUCACGAUGCAUCUUCUUUUCACUUACUCCUAUUCUAUCAUUGCACUGGAGUCUGCUUUUUAACCCAGCAGGUGACCCUUGAUUGCUGAUAUGAGUAUUUCAAGCCCAUUUUUCUUAAUUUAUGCUUUAACCAGGAAAAAGAAACCAUAGUAAAAAUACAGCUGCUCCCUCUUCUGACCAUAAUAAGAGGAAAUGGCCAAGUCAAAUAACAGCUGUCCCCUCCCCAGCAUUACAGUUAUGAAGGAAACUAUUGCCCUUAUAUUUUCCCUUACCUUGAAAUUGUAUUGGUGUUUCCUCCCUUUGCCACAGCACAACUCCUGUGCAGCAAAAAGUGAAGAAAAGCAGGGAGGAGAAUCUGCUAAGGAGAACUUGGGGUGAUAGGGUGGGCAUAUGGGGACACUUAUCAGACCAGGGCUCUUUCAUCCCCCACUUUAAUACCACUUUUCUGCAUUACUGUAUUCAAGGUGGUUUACAAACCCGUAGAAAUGGCAAAAUAUAGGACAAAAAUCACACUGCCACCCUAUAACAAAAACAAAACAAUAAUCCAUAUCACCUAAGAUAUUGCAAUUAUUGUGCAAGGUAAUAAAAUGUCAGCACACAAUCAAACAAAAUCACCUCCAUCAGUUACAAAUCAAUAAUUAAAAAGUGACCAAACAAUAUCUGCAAAAAUAUAACAGAUGAAAUGCCACAGAUCAUGAAGAAAGAAUAAGUGAGCGGCUGCGUUAAAGCUUUCCUUCACUGUCCUGUGGAACACUGUCCACCCACAGUUGGGUAUUCAUGCCUCUUGCCAUGACCUACCACCCAAGGACCUUGCCCUGUGCAGUAGAGGAUUCUGAAGAUGAAGUUUAGGCUAUUUUCUCCAGGAAGAACCACCAGUGCUUAUUCAGGACUCUCCUGGCUAGAGAAUACAGCCCUGCCACUAUCCUAUGACACUGGUGCAGUACUGCUGUCUCCUAAGUCUUGCAGAAAUCAAAGACUACAAAGUAAGGGGAGCACCCUUUAACCAGCUGGUUAACUCCUCUAUACUCCAGAUCUGGUGAGCUACAUAAAUGCUUCUGUUGACUAGCCCUCUGCAGAUACUGCCUUUUGGUGGCUGUCUUAGCAGGACACAUUGGAGCUGUCCAAGGUCCUGUAUGUGCUCUGCUUGACUCCAGCAUGGACACUUCCUGCUUCCCCCGUGAGCCUAAAGCAGGGGUCAGCAAACUUUUUCAGCAGGGGGCUGGUCCACUGUCCCUCAGACCUUGUGGGGGGCUGGACUAUAUUAUGAAAAAAAUAAAUGAAUGAAUUCCUAUGCCCCACAAAUAACCCAGAGAUGCAUUUUAAAUAAAAGUACACAUUCUACCCAUUUAAAAACGCCAGGCAGGCACCACAAAUAACCCAGAGAUGCAUUUUAAAUAAAAGGACACAUUCUACUCAUGUAAAAACACGCUGAUUCCUGGACUGUCCGUGGGCUGGAUUUAGAAGGCGAUUGGGCCAGAUCCGGCCCCCAGGCCUUAGUUUGCCUACCCAUGGCAUAAAGUGUCGCCAGAACUUUUGAGUUGACACUGCACAUCAUUUGCUUUCAUCUUAGGUGCAAGCAGCUCCAGAAUAAAUAGAAUAUUUGCAGGGUGGGAGAAGAAGGCAGAUGAGCUCAGCUUCAUGCCUACAAAUGUUUCUAUUUCUCCCCUCCCUGAGCAACCUUCUGGCAUGGAAAACUACCUUGUACCAGACCAGACAAUUUAUCCAUCUAGUGAAGUAUCUACUCUAGUUUGUAGUGGUUCCCCCAUGCUUAGCGGAGGAGACUGAGAGGUUAUAAUGAUAGCCAGCUUCAAAUAUCUCAAGGGCUGUCACAUGGAGGAUGGAAUAAGCUUUUCUCCUGCUUUGGAGGGUCAGAAUCAAACCAACAGCCUUAAUUGAAGAAACAAGUUUCUGACUAAACAUCAGGAAGAACCUUCUGAUAGUAAGAACUGUUCAACAGUGUUAUGGUCGUCAUUGGAGGCUUUUAAGCAGAGCUUGAAUGGCCAUCUGUCGUGGAUACUUUAGUUGAGAUUCCUGCAUUGCAGGGGUUGGACUCGAUGACUCUUGGGGUACCUUCCAACUCUAUGAUUCUGUCACUACUUUAUCAUAUUGCUGCCUUUUUCUCUCAUCUAGUUGCAGAGCUCAGGCUGUUGCCUCUUUGCUGGUUAUAUUUCAACUGACCCAAACCAUUUCUUUCCAGCUCCUUCUCCAGCAGUUGGGUUGUAGCUGGUGGCCACUUGACAUAAACAUUAAUCAGUGCUGAAAUGUAGCUAACAGAGGGAUGGUAGCUCAGUGGUAGAGCAUGUGCUUUGCAUGCAAAAGGUCCCAGGUUCAGUCUCUGGCCUCUCCCGUUUGCAGGAUCAGGUGGCAUAAAAUACCUUUCUCUUCUUGUUACCCUGGAGGCUCUGCCAGCCGAUGUAGACAGUACUGGACUAAAUAGACAAAUAGUCUAAGCUGGUAUAAGGCUGUUUUAUAGGUACAGGUAACUCACAAUGUACACACAUUCAUAUUUAUGUGCUUGGCAUUUAAUUUUUUUAAAAAAAAAGAGGUGGAAAGAGGGCAGGCUUUCUGGAAAAAAGACUUUGUCAAUCCCACUCGCUAUUAAACCCAAUGCAUUUUGACUAUAUGUGAUGUUGGCUUUAUGCACUAUCCCUGGAAUGUAAUCCCCUGAUGUCCUCAGCACACCCAGCCAAGGAGGACAAAUGGCCGAUAGUUUUAUUCUUUCUUGAAAAAAGCAUGCACUUCUAAGGUCCUAAGGUGCAUAGAAUACACAUGUACACAUGCUUCUGGUGAUGAUGUAGCUGGCAUUAACUUUCCUAGGCUUGUUCCCCGGCUGAACAGUUGGAGCAACAAUGGGACCCCACCCCACCCAUGCUUAGGUACCCUCAUCUGAUGGAGUGCAUGCAGGCAACCAGAGACUUCUCCUACAUGGAAGCUGCCACUGUGCUUGCCUCCUCAAGCCGUCCUGGUCCUAGGAGACAGUGGUACAGAGGAUGGCAGGGACUUGACUGUUGGAAGAAUGCCCGGGAAGGCCACCACCUUUCCAAGGGGCAUCUCUGCGGUCUCACCCUCUGGCUGUAAAUCUUCCUCAAGACCAGAGAGACCGGUGAUAAGCGACCCCUCCCUCCUGAGAGGAGCACGCUCGUCUUCUGGAAUCUCAUAGCAGAAGAAAGAGUCAAUCAGUAGCUCUAAAACUACUUUAUUAACAGUCUAUAUACAAAUAAUCCAUCAGUAUGUCUGUGCUCUCUCAGCACCAGUACAGAACAGCAUCUUACACAGAAGUGAAACUAACUUGCAUCAGUGCUAAGACUUCCUGUCUCAUGCUCUCUCAGACACUCACAUGAUAUAAACAGCAUAGUGCUACUUGCUGAGCAGCACAGGUAGAUAAAAAUCCUAACAUUGAUCAGCCUUCCCCUCACCUGAACAGCCUCUUCCUCAGCUUCUAACACAUCCUGCUCCACCUCCCCUAUGUCAGAUCGCUCAGACUCUUCCCCUUCCUCCAGCCUAGCUCCUACCUUGUUGUGGCACAAAACCUCGUAAAUCACUGGUCCCUCUGCUUCCACCACACACUUGUCAGAGCCCUGCCAGUCCCUCACACUUUGUAAGUUGAGAGUUGCCUGUAAUGCUCAUUGAAGCAAGCAACUUGUCACUAGCUUCCAUUAAAGAAGCAUCUUUAGCUAUUAAACUAACCAAUAACUUAGAGAAAGGGGCAUCUCACUUUGCAGAGCCAUAACAGUAUAGAGGAUAGAUAAACAUGGGGAAACUAUUUAGAAUGUUGAGCAAGGCAGACCAUUGGUUUGAUCCAACAUAGGGUUUUCAUGCAUGAGGGAUGGGGAGCCUAUGGCUCUCCAGAUGUUGCUAGAGUCCAUCAUUCCUGACCACUGACCCUGCUGAAUAGGACUGAUAGAAUCAUAGAACUGUAGAGUUGGAAGCAAUCCCAAGGGUCAUCUAGUCCAACCCCCUACAAUGCAGGAUUCUCAACUAAAGCAUGCACUGCAGAUUUCCAUCUGACUUCUGCUUAGAAACCUCCAGUGAAGGAGACUCCACCACCUUCCGAGGGAGUCUGUUCAACUGUCAGACAGUUUUUAUCAUCAGAGUUCUUCCUGAUGUUUAGUCAAAAUCUACUUUCUUGUAACCAGUGGUCUGGGUCUUACCCUCUGGAACAGGAGAAAACAAGCUUGCUCUUUCUAUUAUAUCUUGUCUCAGUCUCCUCUUUUCUAGGCUAAACAUAUCCAGCUCCCUCAACCGUUCCUCAUAAGGCUUGGUUUCCAGAUCCUUGAUUAUCUUGGUCACUGUCCUCUGCACACAUUCCUGCUUGUCAAUAUCCUUCUUAAAUUGUGGCACCCAGAACUGGGCACAGUACUUCAGGUGUGGACUGCUGAAGGCAGAAUAGAGCGGUUGGAGAAUAGGAGUUGGAGUAUGAAGAAUUUUGUCUAGUCCUGGUCCUUACUUAAAGGAAGCUACUUUACCUUGCCACUUGCAAAAACCAAGAAACAUUGAGGCCACCUGGUUUACUGGUACAACAUAUGAUGCAUAUGUACAACAUAUGUAUUGGUACAACUAUAUGAUGCCGCUGUUUUGUUGCAUAUUCAUUCUGAUUUGUUUGCACAGAUGUUGUAUGAUAUUUUCUGAUCUUGCCCUUAUUCCACACUUUCCAGUACAUUUCUCCAUCACCUUCCUCGUCACAAAAAUUAGAUUUGCAACACUGCUAAAUCCACUUUAAUUGCACAACCUAAAUUAGUUGGUAUGUGACUGAAUCAUUACCACAAAAUGGUGACAUUUUAUAAGCAGCAAUUUUGAAAGCCCCCCCCCAACAAAUACUUACACUUAAACACCUACUUUUGAAAAUGUUUGGUCAGAUAAAUUAUGGUGCCAUACAUUAAGGACAAUGAGAGGUGCAGUGUCUAUCAUGGCAAUGCUAAAACAGAAUUUCUUGCUGGGGAAUGCAAAAAGCUCACUAAGUCAGAGUCACUGUCACCAUGAACAGAUGAAAAUGAGGUGCUUCCUGUAGAAGUCUCUUUUUAAUUUCUAUAAUGGGCAUAUCCAACUGAGGCCCUUCUUCCGGGCUCUUGUUAUUUACAUUUCAGAAUUUGAUUAGGUGCACUGGAGAAGGGGUUAGCAUAAGAAGCAGUGGAAGUUGGAAGGUGUAACGAGAGGGCAACUAAUAAAACAGUGGAUUAAAGGCCAGUUCUUGGAUGCUUUUCGGUAUUGCAUCAGCCAAGGAUCUGACUGUAAAAUACUUGCUGCUCAAGAAAACUUGUUUGUUGAAUACUGGACCAGUCUACACAAACAUCACAUUAAAUGGAAAAUCUGGACCAUAUAACUUCAGACUGCAAGUGGUAGGGUUGCAUGUCUGAACACUCCUACAUGGGAAAGGGAGAAAAACUCAUCUGUACACAGAAGAUUAACAGCCCCUUUCAGACAUGCAAUGAAUAUGUGUCAGAAGGAGGCCAGAUUCUGCUUCCAAUCUCCACUUGUUCAUUUGAAGGUCUGCAUAAAGCUAACAUGAAUCCCGUUAUUUCCACACUUUUCCAAUAACUACCCCCUCUGGGGGAAGGACUGUAGCUCAGUAGUAGAGCAUUUUCUUUGCAUGCAGGAGGCUGCAGGUUCUAUCCCUUGGAUCUCCAAGAAGGGCUGGGAAAGACUGUUGUCUGAAACCCUAUAGAACUGCUGCCACUCAAUGUAGAUAAUAUCUACCUGUCAAAGCCCCUUGUGCAAUGCUUCGCAAGUGCCUGACAGCCACCUGGUUGUCAGGUGUUUGAGAACUACCAAGUGUAAGGCGCUUUGCUACCAAGUGCUGAGCAUAGGGCCAACAAGCUGCUUUCUGCAGUUCUGUCUGUGUGACCACACAGUCAGUCCAGGAGACUUCAAGUCACUACCGAUCAGCUGAUAAGAAGUGACUUCAGCACUGAUUUCUGCAGGGUUUGUGCAAUUGAGUUCUCCAUGGGGGAAUUCAGUUGCACAGCUAAUUGAACAGGCUUUCUGCAGCAAUUGGCUGUGCAGUUGAAUUCCCUUUAGGGAACUUGGUCACACAACUGAUCCACUUGCCUAGGUAUCUGCCGUAUAGUUGACAUCAUAUGUAACAGGUGGGUUUGGGGAAAACAGUCUCCUUGCAGGACAAACUGGGACCCAUGCUGGGCCAAACUUGGCCCAUGGUCCAGAGGUAUCUUGUAACCUAUUGUCCACCAUCUGCAGUUUUGAUAACUUCUUAUACUAAAGGUAAAGGUAAAGGUACCCCUGCCCGUACGGGCCAGUCUUGACAGACUCUAGGGUUGUGCGCUCAUCUCACUCUAUAGGCCGGGAGCCAGCGCUGUCUGGAGACAUUUCUGGGUCACGUGGCCAGCGUGACAAGCUGCAUCUGGUGAGCCAGCGCAGCACACAGAACCCCGUUUACCUUCCCGCUAGUAAGCAGUCCCUAUUUAUCUACUUGCACCCGAGGGUGCUUUCGAACUGCUAGGUUGGCAGGCGCUGGGACCGAACGACGGGAGCGCACCCCGCCGCGGGGAUUCGAACCGCCGACCUUUCGAUCGGCAAGUCCUAGGCGCUGAGGCUUUAACCCACGGCACUGUUGGUUUCUAUUUCCCUCACUGAGCAGCAACUGCAGUCACAAGACAUUGUUUUGCAUUCCACAGUCAGAGGUACUGUUGGAGUUUCUCACGGGAAAGGGAGACUGGAUGUGACGUACACUGGUUUCCUGUUUUUUCACUGUGGGAUUCUCUCCGAGCUGAGAGAGGAGAGAGGAUGCAUUUUUCUGCUCCUGCAGAGGCAAGAUGUCUUUCUGUAAUAUACCAGCUUUGAACUGUAAAUAAAGCUAUAUGGAGUAUGGAGCACGUAUUCUCAUCCUUCCGCUGGGCACCAGAGACUCUGCUUUAAAUCAACACGUGGUUAUGGACUCCAGAGGUCGAAUCGGAGUGCCGGCAAAGGAUCGGAAUGCAGAGGAACGGAUCGGAAAGGAAUCUGCUCUGCGCGUAGAAGUGAUUGAUGAGGUAUGUGCUACUGCUCCGGGCAGCCUGCCAGCUUCAAGAUAAUGGCUUUAUGGCUGGACUUUGAACUUUUAAAGCCGGUUUUGCAAAUAGGCAAAAGGCUCCCAGGCACAAGUCACUAUGCUGGGGAAAUCGAAGUAACUUUUAAGUGUGCCUUUGUAAUGAAGCAGCUGCAGCAGUGACGCAGCAAGAUUUAAAGCAGCAUAGAUAUGACGCUGAAGGCUAAUGCCAGAGUCAUGAUGGCCCUUCAGGAUGCUUGUGGGAUUCCUAAGCUCAACAAGAAAAAUUACAGCGACUGGGUUCAGUAUGCAGAGGCAAUUCUGCGGAAAGAGGGUUUGUUUGAGGUGAUUACAGGAACCCCCCCAGUUCCAGUUACAGAUGCAUGGGAAGCUAAGGAUUCCAAAGCAAGAGGAACUCUUACAUUGAUAGUAUCCCCAGAAGAGCUCUGUCUAUUGCGUGAUAAGACCUCAGCCAGAGAAAUUUGGGACGCUCUGAGAGAGGCCCACUUAAGGACAGAAGCUGGAUCCACUAUGUUUUAUUUUAACAAGCUGCAUAAUAUGGCUCUUGCUGAAGGUGGAGAUGUGCGUUUACAUCUGAUGGAGAUGCAAAAUCUGAGACAUGAGCUGCAACAGAGAGGACUCAACUUUCCAGAGGCUGUGUAUUCUUUCAUGACACUACAAUCUUUGGGUUCAGGUUGGGAGUCUGUUGCAACCCAGAUUGCUGUGCAACCAACUGCUCAGCUGACAGUGGACUUUGUUACUGCCGUGAUUUUAAAUGAAGCAGAUCGCCGGGGUGCUGGCUGCAUGGGCAAGGGGGAGUCUUCACAGACGUCAUCCCAUAGUGCAGUGGAACCACCAGAUGGCGCCAAAGCUUUCAAGGCAGUGAAAUGCUACUCGUGUGGACGUCUAGGCCAUAUGAAGAGGGAAUGCAGACAUCCCAGGGCCAAGACAGAGCAGCGCAGCGAAAGCUCAUCGCGCGGAAAAGGCCGAGGCAAAGGCAAAGGUCCGGUGUCUAGGACAACGCAGCACAAGGCUAUGGUUUCACGCUUCACUCCAAAGGUUGCAGAGGUCCAGAAGACGUCUAGAUCUUUCUUCGUUGUUGAUUCAGCGGCGACCCACCACAUGUGCAACGAUAAGAAACUGUUUGUGUCUUUUACACCGCAGGAAGGUGCGAUUCACCAGGCGGAUGAUCACACUAUUCCCAGUAAAGGCUACGGAACUGUUGUUCUUCACAGUUUGGACUUAUCGAUACAGAAUGUGCUUUACGUGCCAGACGCCAAACAUAAUCUGCUCAGCGUUGGACAGCUGAAUGAGCGGAACAUUGACGUUUCCUUCAAGAACAAGAAGUGCAUCAUCACAAAGAAAAAUGAUUAUGUAUUGCAUGCAGAAUAUGUUGAUCAUUUGUUUGUUUUGUAUUAUGAUGAUGUGGUGCAGGAUGACACUUGUUGCAUUGCAGGUUCUAACAAAAGUUUGCAUGCAGAAUGUAUUCACGAUUUUCAUCGCAAAUUUGGUCAUUUGCAUUUUGAGGCAGUAUCUAAAAUGCCUGCCUUGGUUGAAGGUAUGACUAUUAAACCCUGCAGGUACCACAUGAAGUGCAAAGCAUGCGCAGCAAACAAGGUGAAAAUGGCUGCGAAAGGUAAGGUGUCUAGUAGGAAAGCUACAGAACCAUACCAGGUUGUUCAUGCUGAUUUGGUUGGACCACUUGCGCCCUCUUUGGGUGCAAAUAGAUACUUCAUGGUUCUCAUUGAUGCAUUUUCUAGAUAUAUUUUUGUGUACAAUCUCAAGCAGAAAUCGGAGGCUUUUCCUAGGUUCAAGGAAUUCUGUGCUUGGUUGGAAAAUGUGCAUGGUAAGAAGAUAAAAACUCUUUUCAGUGAUCGCGGGGGGGAAUUCACUUCUCAGCAGUUUGAAGCUUUUCUGACUGAGAAAGGAAUUCAACACGAUUUGUCUAGUCCUCGCUCGCCAUGGCAGAAUGGACUUGCGGAACGGGCAAAUCAGACAUUGCUUCAAGGAUUAAAAACCUUGCUGCAUGAUGCCAAUCUUCCAGAGAGUUAUUGGGCCGAAUCUCUCUCGUGUUUUGUUUACAGUUACAAUCGCAGGUUAUCUUCAGCGAUUGGAUGUACCCCCUAUGAGAAGAUGUUUGGCAAGAAGCCAUACAUCAAACACAUGAAGAUUUUUGGUUCUGACAUGUGGGUUCACUCACCACAAAACUCCAAGUUAGACAAGCGUGGAUUGCAUGGUAUCUUUCUAGGUUAUCAGAAAGGGUCUUACAGAAUAAUGAUGACUGACUCUAAGACAAUUAAGCUCACGAGAAGUGUUGAGUACAAUGCAAAGUGGGGGGAAUGUGGGAAUUUUCCAAUGUUAUCCUGAUGACGGUGAUGAGACUGAGGAUAGUCAAAAGCAACCACAACAGCCCACACCCACUGAUGAAGGUCCUGAGUCUGAAUCUGAAACUGAAUCGGGUGAUUCAGAGGAUUUCGAGAGUGCGAAAGCCUCUAUGCGACCCUCUGAAAGCUCUGGUCAAGAAUUGGAGGAACCAUUGUUCACAAUAGGUCGUUUUUCUCCUAAGAAGGAAGAGGAGAGUGUUGAAGACUUAAGGCUAAUUCGUAGGUCACAGAGAGCCACAAAAGGCAAACCUCCAAAGAGAUUUGCUGAUGAGUUUGCUAAGAUAGCAGUAACAGCUGUUAAAAGCUCCAAGAAGGUAUUUGAACCUUCAAGUUUCCAAGAAAUCCAGGGUUUGGAUUCAAAGGAAGCUGAGCCAUGGUUAAAUGCCAUGAAGGCUGAGCUUGAUUCCUUAGAAAGGAACAAAACAUGGCAGCUAGUUCCAGUAGUUCCAGGAAUGAAACUGCUUGGAAGCAAAUGGGUCUUCAAAGCGAAGACAGAUCAAAAUGGCAAGAUAGUCAGACACAAAGCCAGAUUGGUAGCCAGAGGUUUUGCACAGGUACCAGGUGAAGACUAUCACGAGACCUAUUCACCCACAGUGAGAUAUGAAAGCAUUAGGCUUAUGCUCAAGCUAGCUGCAGAGGAAAAUCUACACAUUAGUCACCAUGAUAUUAAUACAGCUUUUCUGUACGGAUCUCUAGAUGAAUCACUUUAUAUGCUUCCACCUGAUGGCGUACAGGUAAAACAGGGAUUUGUUUGUGCUCUGAAGAAAUCCCUUUAUGGUCUCAAACAAAGUGCACGGUGUUGGCACACAAAACUCACUGAAGUAUUGUUUUCUCUAGGUUUUCAGCAAGGGAAAGCUGAUCCAUGUGUAUUUGUCAAAGAGGAGGGGCAAAAGAAACUGUACUGUUUGUUUUAUGUUGAUGAUUUAUUAUUCUUUUGGAAAGAUGUUGCAAUGUACAAUAGCGCCCUAGCUCAACUGAAAGAGCACUUUGACAUGAAAGAUCUUGGUGAGGUAAACAACUACCUAUCUCUGGAAAUAGAGAGAGAUCAAGAUGGUAACAUUCUAGUACACCAGUCACGGAAAAUUGCUGAUGUGUUAAGCAAACUAAAUCUGAUGGAUGCUAACCCUGUAGACACACCGAUGACAACAGGUUAUCAGGUAGAUGACACUGAAGAAGCAUUUUCUGACACUACACUGUACAGGAGUGUGCUAGGCAAGCUAAACUUCAUUGCCAGAUGUUCAAGACCAGACAUUGCUGUUAGCUGUAAUUUGCUAAGCAGACAAGUCAACAAUCCUAGUGUCAAGGAUUGGAAAGCUCUGAAACGCAUAGCGCGGUAUUUGAAAGGCACUAUGCAUUACAGACUGAGAUUUAACAAUCAGAAGUCUGGUGGUCUUGAGAUAUUUGCAGAUGCAAGUUUUGGAAGUGAUGCUAUAGACAGGAAAAGUACGUCUGGAGUUUGCUAUAUGUACAAUCAGAGUCUGUUUGAUUGGUCAUGCAAGAAGCAAACAACAGUUAGCUUAAGUACUUGUGAAGCCGAACUGAAUGCACUGUCUUAUUCACUUAAGGAUUGUGAAUGGUUAGUACAAUUGUGCAAAGAUAUGAAAAUUCCUGUCAAAUGUCCAGUCCAGGUUUACCAGGACAACAAAGCGUGUUUGGCUUUGCUGAAGUCUGAAGGUUGUAAGCAAAGCACAAAGCACUUGCAAUUAAAGUUGCAGCAUGCUAGGGAAUGUAUUCAGAAGGGACUCGUAACGGUGUCCUAUAUGCCAGGUAAUGAAAUUCCUGCUGAUGUAUUGUCCAAGAUUGUAUCAAGGGAUCAACACUGUACCUAUGUGCAGAAGUUGGGUUUGUACUGAUAUUGUACGAACACGCUGCCCAGUGAUGUUCACAGAAAGGGGGAGGAUGUUGGUUUCUAUUUCCCUCACUGAGCAGCAACUGCAGUCACAAGACAUUGUUUUGCAUUCCACAGUCAGAGGUACUGUUGGAGUUUCUCACGGGAAAGGAGACUGGAUGUGACGUCCACUGGUUUCCUGUUUUUCACUGUGGGAUUCUCUCCGAGCUGAGAGAGGAGAGAGGAUGCAUUUUUCUGCUCCUGCAGAGGCAAGAUGUCUUUCUGUAAUAUACCAGCUUUGAACUGUAAAUAAAGCUAUAUGGAGUAUGGAGCACGUAUUCUCAUCCUUCCGCUGGGCACCAGAGACUCUGCUUUAAAUCAACAGGCACCACCCGCGUCCCCACAACUUCUUAUACUAAAAAAACCUCUUUUUUUUACAUUAAUUAUUUUUAGUAUAACUUCUUAUACUAAAAAUAAUUAAUGUUAAAAAAAGAGUUUCCAAAUUAAGCAAGGAUGCGUUUUUAACAUUGAUAUUAAAGAUGUUUUCUUGAUGAAUUGAAUUGGUUAAUUUGGGGGUUCCUAAUUUCUUAAGGGCCAGGGAUACAUUUCAAAAUCUAAUAGACUAUUGUGGGCACCACAAAAUAUCCAUUUUACAGAGGGAAAAUUGCUGGUACUCAUAAAUCCCUUACAAAAGUAAAUAAAAACAGACAACAAAGCAAGCAACACACUCUGAAAACAGGCAGCCACCCCCCUAAUUCUUAAAAAAAUAAAUUGGGAUAGGGUCUUGCCAGCCACUGUGAGUGUGUCUGAGUGUUGUUGUGCCCAUAGGUACUAUUCUGGGUACCCCAGAAUUAACUGAUUGAUUAAAGGUUGCAGCCCUUAGGGGAAAAAAGAAAAGAAAUAUACUGAGUUUCUGUUUCUCUGAGAGUAAUAUAGAGUGGAGGGAAGAGAGCAGAGUGGGGUGGACUGAAAAUAUGUCAACUCCUUGACUGGAUCCUGCCCUUUUAUUCCGAGUAGUUACACUGUCAAGAAGGUAUUUUGCUGAAUUGCCUCUUUCUGCAGGAACACCACGCAACAGUUACUUCUGAGUGGCUUUAUAGGGGAUUUUCACCCACACCUUAUAAUAAACCGAGCGUGCAGAUAACAUAUCUUUUUGUGCUUUAAAGUGCUUGGAUGAUAACUGUGAAAAAUUAUCUCACGAAGGUUACCAAGCGGUACCUGUGGCCAUUUUCUCAUGACCCCUGUGAGAUAAAGUUUACUGCCUUAGAUCAUGAUGCAUUGUCAAAUAACAGGUUUAGCUUGUCUGGCCAACAAGAAGUAAUUGAGGAGUGUUAUAGCUUUACAAUCCUUGUUCCAAGGAAUUGGGAGCAUCUGAGCUGUUAGACCUGAACAAAAUAGGUCAAGGCUGAGAGAAUAAAGUUUUCUCUAUUUGUUCCCCUUUUCUUUUACUCCCAAGUUAUUUCCUUUCAUAUGUGAAACUAUUUCAUGAUGAUCCUUGAAAAUCUUACAGAAAAACCUUGAAUGUUUCUCUCUCUCUCUCUCAAAAGACCAUUUAAAAAAUGAAUUACCAUGCCUGUAUUAUUAAUGUUCACAGUUUCCUACAUUUACAGAUGUUCUGUGAGAGCCCUCUCACACACUUACACAUACACAAAAAUAAGCCAAAGAUUGCAUCUUCUGUCUUGUAAAAAUGAUGACUGGUGACUGAUAACACUCUCUUCUGGAGUUUUAUACCACAACCAAGCAAACAUGAUGAGGAAUGUUUGGUUUCUUAUGGGUAAACCCCGCAAUUUGCCCCCAGUGGUGGAGCAUCUGCUUUGUCAUGCAGUGUUACGCAGGUUCAAUCCCUGGCAUCUCCAGGAAGGGCUGGGAAUAUUCCUACCUGAAACCCUAGAGAUGUUUUUAGUUAGACAUACAAAUGGUCUUUGGGUGGAUAGUUUCAUUAUAACAUUUUGUGGUCCUGGACUUAUUUGCAUCAUGAGUAAGGAGUUUAUUAUGCUUCCAGUUGCUGCUCUGUUGCUGUUUGGUAGCCAAUGAAAGUCACGCUGUACCAGUGGACUGGAGUGUUGCCACUAUCAUCCUGGAUGCAAGAGACAGUGCUACAGUUCAUCCACUGGUGAAUCCAUUUUUGUGUGAACACUGCUUGGACAAUUAAAAAAAAUAUGCUUCCUGCAGAGUUGUUCCGAUCCCCACCCUCUAAUCUGGCUUGUGCAAAACCUGUCUGUCUUUCAUCUAUAAUCACACUUAUAGGUUGAGAAGCAAUGAUUUAAGAGAUCUCAUAUUAGGGGUGCAGCCAAUAUGUCGGAAGAGCUUAUAUUUGGAUCAGUAUGGUGUAUAUCAGGCAGGCAGAGCCUAGAAGCAGUUUGCAGGUGGAGCCUGGAGAUUUUAGGCAAGUCUGUAAGCCUGUCAGGGAAUAUAUAUAAUAUGUUCUCGAAGCUACAAACAUGAGUCUGACCAAACUGCGGGAGGCAGUGGAAGACAGGAGUGCCUAGUGUGCUCUGGUCCAUGGGGUCACGAAGAGUCAAACAUGACUAAACGACUAAACAACAACAACAAUGUCUAGAGGUUUUGCCAGGUUAGAAAUGAAGCUCAGCUCUCUGUUCAUCUUAGGCACAGAUGGGGAACCUGUGGCCCUCCACAUGUCAUGGGACUCCAGCUCCCAUCUACCCCAGGCAGAAUGGCUAAUGGUCAGGAUGAAGGGAGUUGUAGUCCAACAACAACAUGGAUACCCAACCCUGCUCUAAGGUUUAGGGCUAGCUUGCCCCAAUGCCCCCCUCCCCAUCCUUGUACCUUGCUUUUGGGGCAGCUAGCCCCAAAGGGGGAAGCAAGCAAACACAGAAGAGAAAUUGCCCCUCUCAUUGAAGAAUUAAUGUGUACCUCUAUUGUACAAAUUGUUCAUGAUUGCUGUAACUAUUUUCUUGCAGCUACUCAGCUAUGAUUCCAGCAUCAUUUUCUUUCUUUUCCACUGUGUUAAGGGUUGGGUUAUUUAAACUUACCAUCAAACAGAAUCAGAAUCAAAGUGAGCUAAUUUUUCUGAAAUACUAAUCAUUUUAAGGCUAUUGAACUAAAUAUAGAGACAGUUCAUUAAAUCAUUAAAACUGCCUGCAAUAAUCCUCACAAAGUCAUUAUAGUAGUAUUCCCUAGCCGGAGAGGUAGAUUUGCCUUAAGCACAGUUUAAUCAAAUUAGAUAGCAGGCCUAUGUCAUGGGGUUUCUCCUAUUGAUAUUCAUUAAAAAUACAUGAUUUAUCACUAAUCUAUGUAAGGUAUAUCCCGAUUCUGCCAAAUUAAUUUUGUAAGUGUUGGGGCGGGGAGUGAGGGAAUAGGUAAGGAAAACAUUAUAGUCUAUUGUUAUAGUGCUGUUUUAAAAUGGAGGCACGAUCGCAUUUACAUUUUGCAGACUGUAUCAUUUUACAACAUUUUGGCACUUGCUUGCUUUCCUUCCCUUUCUCAUUUUAGUUAAGCACUUGCACAACCAGCUACUAUAUCCUUUAGGUCAGUGGUGGCCAAACUCGGCCCUCCAGAUGUUUUGAAACUACAACUCCCAUCAUCCCUAGUGGUCAGGGAUGAUGGGAAUUGUAGUCGAGUUUGGCCACCACUGCUUUAGGUCACUCGCCCCCAACUUUCAAUUUACCGCGAUCCCUUUCUGCACUGACUUUCCUGCUAUAGAAACUGUGUACACUGCUGGCAAUUCUGGCACAAGUAUUUGAGCACAUGGUCAGCUCACUCAGAACAUUUCCAAAUAAAAGGAGCUGGUUUCAGAUAAGGAAAAAACCUCUGUGUAGCACCCAAAUAGUCACCACCAGUCCAUGUAGACAAUAUUGGGUGAGGUGGACAAAUUACCUGACCUGGUUUAAGACAGCUUCAUAUGUUCAUAUGCUUCCCAUGCUCUCAAUUUUUAGUGACCAAGUUUUGGGGGCCUCCCCAUUGCCUGAUGAAAAUGGAAAGUGUCCUUGCACAUACCCAUUGCUCACCUCUUCUCUCUAGCUUAUCCACUUUGAUCCCCAUAUGAUGCACUCUAAUGAGUGCAUUGGCUUUGGCUCACAAAUGCUUAUGCCACAACAAUACACUUUUAGUUUUCAGGGUGCCACAAGAGUGUGGUGUGAAAAUUGUGCACUCCUGGCUAGUAGAUGUAUACAGAAGUUAGCAAAUCAUCUGGGAAACAUUUUUUCCCCAUGCAGAAGACUUGAAAAUUGCUGGGGGGUCUCACCAAACCACAUAGUACAUCUUUGUUAGAAUCAUACAAUAAAAUUGUGGAGUUGAAAGGGACACUGAGCAUCAUAUAGUCCAACCCCCUGUGAUGCAGGAAUCUCAAAACGUAUUCAUAAUGCAUUAGUAGACUGUACCAGUUCUGUAAAGUAGACCUGCAGCUUACAAAGGGCUUACGUUCCGAGGAUAGUACAUAAAGCUAAAAUUGCAUAUUAUGAAAACCACAAUAGGGCCUAGACUAGAGCAUUGUUAGUUUGUUCAAUAUUGCAGUCCUGGUCAAAAUACCCUUGAUCUCUGGUGACGAAAAAACCAAAACAUGAUCAAACACAGGGUUAUGUCCUCAUAUUUUUGAUGGUUCCUCAAGCUUUCCUUGGACCAUUUGAAUGUUUCUCAUGAACCAACAGUGGUUGGCAGACCACAGUUUGAAAACCUCUAUAUCUACCAGUCAUUAGUCAUUAUCCACACUACUGUGCCACUUGCUUCUGUCCGCAAGUCUCUCCUGCUGGAUCAUAACACUGAAAGGACUUCAAAGGUCAUCUAACACAACUCGCCACCCACAACUACAACAUUCCUGAUUGGUGGUUGUCUAGCCGUUGCUUAAAAACUUCUAAUGUAGGAGAGUCCACCACCUUGUGAGUUACUCUGUUCCACUGUUAAGCAGGGUGUGGCUGUUUAAGAAAGGAAACUAACUUCCAGAUGUGAAAAAUAUUUUAAAACAUGCAUUCCCUCUCUUACAACUAUUCUUUUCCCCCUUUCAUUCCUGUAGUGGUGAAAUUAGCUCAUUAUUAGUGAAAUUUGUUGGUCUGUGCCCAUGUUAAUGUCAGAGGGUGGGUGAGGGUGGGAAGCGAUUGGAAUAUUUAGUUCAGACCAAGGUCUCGUGAUAUGAGGAGCUUUUUAUUAAAUCUGAAAAAUUUAAUAAGAGGCUUUUCAUACCAGAGCUUAGACCAUCAGAAAGCUUGAUCUCUGCAGGCUGCCAUCUUGUGUUGCAGAAUUGAAGGUGUUUCCUUCCCACACAUGCACACACACUUUAAGGGCCAAAUCUGCUGCUAGUGUCAUUGCAGUGACCUCAGUAGAUUUAACAACACUGGGGAAAAGUUCAACAGAAUUAUAUGAGCAAACCAGCUUUAUAGCUGCAGCCCCCCCACAGUUGGAAAAAUAAUUUCAUACAUGCAAACAGAUGGCAUCCUGAUGCUUGCUAAGCAGCAAAAAGAUAUUAUGGCAGGGAUGUGAAAUACUGCACUAAAAUUUGUAAGAUUCUUAGUGAAACAUUUCUCACACUUUUCUUUCUCACUCCCCCCCACCCCUGGCCAGGUUCAGAUUAAUUUUGCAUUUGCAAAUGUGUUCUUACAACUUCAUUUGGAAAAGAAAAAAGGCAUUGACUAUUUCUAUAGGCACACCUCGAAAUCCAAGCUGGAAAAGUCUACAAAUGUUUUCUGUAUUUCUCCUGCCCUGUACAUACACAAUGAAUCAAAAUAAUAUUCACCUUGGAUGCAGACAAUUUAUGUUAAUUCGCUCUAGCACAGUGGAUGCCUGGUUUUCCAUUGUAGUGUCAUAGGAAGCUGCCUCAUAACAGGUCAAACUACAGUAUUUGUUCAUCUAUCUCAGUUCAUCUAGCUAAGCCUCUCUCCAGGGUCUUAGCCAAAGAUGCCUGGGAUGAAACCUGCAACUUUCUGCAUACAAAGCUUAUGUUCUACCACUGAGCUACGGCACAUCCCAGGAACUUUUUCUAUAUCAUCAUUUCCUGAAGUACCCCAGCCACACAUCCGUACAGAGUAGGGCACAAGGCUACCCCAACUUUCCCUAGGUUUCUAAUUUGGGAUAGCUGAUCUUCUGCCUUGCAAGAGUGCCUGUUCUUCACCUCUAUGGCUUCUCUGCUUGUACAUUUCAUACAUGCCAUAAGUCUGGAAAACCAAACUUGCAAACACAUCUCACUGUUUGAGGAAAUGACAGUGGGCAUCCAUCCACAGGCAGCUUAACAUACUUAGAUAACUGUCCAAAGGCAUUCAUUACAACUGCUGCUGACUUUUUAAACAAAAUACCACAAUAUUUCAUUUUCUUUUCACAAAUAGGAAAUUAAUUGCAUACUCUUGCAGCCAGAGCAGAUAUAAUUCGUUAUGUAUUGUUAAGGUUGUCUGUGAUAAAUUUAUCAAGCUUGCAUGAAAACUACACUGAAAUCACAAUGGAUCCAUCUUAAUUAAGGCUCUUUAAGUGACAGAUACACCUGUCCUGAAAUCAGGAUGGAGGUGAGUAGAUGGGGACGAGGAAAAUAACAGUGCAUUCCAAAAAUGUAGCUGUUCUUUAAAAGAAAAGAAAACCUCUUUGAGUAUAUUGCAUGUACACGGCAAAUGGCAACACUGAAAUUCAUGAUGCUGGCUUACUCAUGUUCAUUAAUUUCAGUGGGUUUAUGCGGAGUAAACCUUAGUUGAAUACCAUUCAUAAUUAACAAUAAAUGUACAACCUUCAUAAUCCAUACAUCAUAAAAUGGUAGAAUUCUAGACAGAUGGCUGUAGGCUUUCGUAUUAUACAAAUUGUUUCUGCAUUAUAAUUCCAGCUGGAUAUAACUGAUUAAUUUGUAUAUCCCAAUAGGAUCAAUUUAAGAAUUGUUAUCUAUUUUACCUUAGCAGUUUCAAAACUUAAAUGUAUAUUGGUGCAAAUAAUUCUCCAUUAAUAUUUUACUCUAUUUUAUUUUAGUUUCCCUAGAGAACGCAAUCAAUCAUUAAUGUAUUUUUUUUCAUUCAUUCAGUUUACAGACUCUUCAAUAGAAUAGCUCUCUGAGAGAUUUACAGGCUUAAAAAAAUUAUCAGAUCCAAUAUUUAAAAUACAACUAUUCAAGAAUAUGACGUAGCAUUUCUCCAGCUUAAAAUUAUUAGUAAAUACGUACUAUCUUUUCUCCUAUUGAAAAUAGUACAUGUGUCCCCCAAAUCAGAUUGGAACCAUAGUGGGGGAAAGGGUUAAAGCCCCCUCUCUCCGUGCCAUAGUCCCAGGACUGAGCUACAAUAGUAAACAAACAAAUAAACAAAACACAUUAUAAAAGCAUUCUUCUUCUUUGGCGAUCGCUCGUAGCUGAGUAAGAUUGUCUUCCAUAAACAUGGUUUUAACAAUGAGUCCGUAAGAGACUGUGGAGGCCAAUUCUGGAUCCACACGUCCUUCCAUAGUGGGGGCAUUGGUUUCCAGGCAGGAGUUUAUCAUGGUGUGGAUUUGCCAAGUGUGCCUUCCUCUUAGCACAUUUCUCCCUUGCGUCCUGAGUUCGAGUGUCUUCAAAGCCCAUGACACCUUUGGUAAAGGCUGUUCUCCAACUGGAGCGCUCACAGGCCAGUGUUUCCCAGUUGUCAGUGUUUAUACUACAUUUUUAAAGAUUUGCCUUGAGACAGUCUUUAAACCUCUUUUGUUGACCACCAGCAUUACGCUUUCCAUUUUUAAGUUCGAAUAGAGUAGUUGCUUUGGAAGAUGAUCAUCAGGCAUCCGCACAACAUGACCAGUCCAACGAAGUUGAUGUUGAAGAAUCAUUGCUUCAACACUGGUGAUCUUUGCUUCUUCCAGUACACUGAUAUUAGUUCGCCUGUCUUCCCAAGUGAUGUGUAAAAAUUUUUGGAGACACUGUUGAUGGAAUGUUUCGAGGAGUUGGAGAUGGCGUUUAUAAGUGGUCCAUGUUUCACAAGCAUACAGUAAAGUUGGUAGUACAAUAGCUUUGUAAACAAGCAUUUUGAUUUCCCUGCGAAUUUCCCGGUCCUCAAACACUCCACUUCAAUCAGGAGAAAGCUGCACUCGCAGAGCUCAGACAAUGCUGGGUUUGGCAUCAGUGUUGGCCCUUGUGGAAAGAUAACUGCCUAGGUAGGAGAAGUGAUCUGCAUUUUCCAACGUUACGCCAUUGAGUUGGAUUUGUGGUGCUGCAGAGGGGUUAUUUUGUACUUAAUGGUGCAGCACUUUGGUCUUUUGGAUGUUGAGUGAUAGGCCAAGCUUUUCGUAAGCUUCUGCAAAGAUAUUUAGGAUGGUUUGGAGGUCAUCCUCUGAGUGUGCGCUCACUACGUUGUCAUCAGCAUACUGAAGCUCUACGACGGAAGUUACGGUAACCCUACUCUUUGCUUUCAGCCUGCUCAGAUUGAAGAGCUUUCCAUCUGUUUGAUAUAUGAUUUCUACUCCAGUGGGGAGUUUCCCUUCAACAAAGUGUAGGAUCAUGACAAUGAAAAUAAUGAAUAGAGUUGGGACAAUAGCACAACCUUGUUUAACACAUGAUCCCACUAUGAAUGGUUCACUUUGAGAGCCAUUGUUAUCUGCGAUUGUUGCUGUCAUAUUAUCAUGGAGGAGCGGAAUGAUGUUUACAAAUUUAUCUGGGCAGCCAAUUUUCAGAAGGACAGUCCCCAGGGCAUUACGAUUUACAGUGUCGAAAGCCUUAGUCAGGUCAAUAAAUGCCAUAUACAGGGGUUGGUUUUGCUCUCUGCAUUUUUCUUGAAGCUGUCGAGCGGUGAAAAUCAUGUCCACUGUCCCCCUAGAAGGCCGAAAACCAUUUUGGGAUUCAGGAAGGGUCACCUCGGAUAUUGUUAAGAGACGGUUUGAGAUCCUUGCAAGAAUUUUGCUGGCCACAGCUAAUAGAGAGAUCCCUCGAUAGUUUCCACAAUCAGUUCUGUCACCUUUUUUAAAGAGAUUGAUAAUUUUGGCAUCCCUAAAGUCUGCUGGGAUCUCUUCUCUUUCCCAGAUUUUUUUGAUGAGCUUGUGAAGUUGUUGUUGUGUAAGUUCAAUUCCGUCCACUUUGAAGACUUUGGCAGGUAUCCCAUCAGGUCCACUGGCUUUGUUGUUUUUCAUUUGGUUAAUAGCUGUACACAACUCUCCCAGAUUUGGAGAUACAGCAAGCUCAUCUCUAACUUGUUUUUGUGGAAUUUGUGAGAGGACCUCAGCAACUACGGGGGGGGUUGUGGUUAAGGAGAUGUUGGUAAUGUUCUUUCCAGCACAUUGCAAUAGCUUCUUUAUCUUUUAGAAGUGUGAUAGCAUCCGCUGAGCGUAGGGGGCAUAUGCCAUGAUUUAUUGGUCCAUAGAUGGUCUUUGUGGCUUUAAAGAAACUCUGUGCAUCAUGAGUGUCAGCUAAGUGCUGGAUCUCUUGAGCUUUUUUUAUCCACCAGUAUAAAAACAUUAUAACACUGUGACACCAGAUGGAGCUGUAGAGCUGAAAUCGGAACUCUAUGAAAAUUUCCAUUGUGAGCUUUCAAACAGUUUUCCCCCAGAACAUUUCCAGAGCGUUUUUUAUAGCUGUGUAGAUGCAGCCCCAAUUUGACUCUCCUCCUACCAGGCUAGCCAUUUGCUAAAAACAAGCAACCAUACAAUAGUAUGUAAUAACAUGAAUAAUGUGACAUCUAGUUUGGCCCAAAUUUAGGUAGAUGAUCUCUAAAAUGAAACAAAUUUCAUCACAACUGGCCUCCAAAUAAUCCCUUUUGGAGAGCUUUUGAGCGGGCACAUUAGCUUUGUUGAUUUCUAUGGGAGCCCCAAGCACCUUCCCUAUUGAUCACUGAUGCUCAAGGAAACAGUAGAGCAGUAGCCAAUCUAAGAACUCCAUCAAAUCCAUUGGCUACUUUGUGAUGUUAUAGAAUGUUUGUUUAUAGUCUACCUUCUGAGAUUACCUUGCCCAGUGAUAUCUCCCCACCCAAAUUCUUGAGCUACCAGACAGCCUGCAAACCAAAAUGAAGGGAAGGGUCAAGGAUGCAAAAGACAGGUGGGUAAAUCUGUUAGGAUAUUUCCGUUCCACCUUAAAAGGGAGCAGGCUUUUUGAGUCACAGAGUCUGCGCAUUUCCUGUUCACAGGAUGUUUAUGUUUCCUAUUGCUUUCGUCUCUCUCUGUGUCUGGAGACACUGAUGCAGGCAGUCAUGUUUUUCUUUGUUCUGACCAACGCUGAAUAAACUUGUAAAUAAUGCUCUCCUGCGUGCAACUUCUGCUGUGAAUUAUCUGCUGAUAGAGUGUGCAUGAGCUCUGGAAUGUGGCAAGCUAUUUCUAGAAACUCGUGUCACUAAUUGCUGAUACUGUAUCUACGGGAGAUCAAUGGACGUCUGCAGCCGGCGUGGGGGCCAUGAUGGGCUUUAUCUCCCUGGCAGUAUCCCAACAAAAUCAUCACAAAGAACCUAAUGACAACCCACCCAUGUUUCACCUCCCAUCAAUCCCAGCCAGCAUGGCCAAUGGGCAGGGAUGAUAUGAGUUGUAGUUAAGCAACAUUUGGAGGGCCAGUUUCUCAACCCCUAGGCUACAGGUCUCUAAAAUUAUUUUUGCUCAGAACUCCUGUGCCUGAUUAGAGUUUUUAAAACAUUAGAGGCCUUUUUAAACUCCUCUGUCCUCUAGAAGAUUAUCAUUCCCACCUUCUUCCUCUAUUUUUUUUGCGCUCCCUGCUUUAUGGGAGAUACAGGCUACCAGCUCUCUGCCUUAAGUUAAAAUAAGUCAUCAGCUGUCUUUCUGUUUAGUAGUUUCAUGUUCUGACCACAGAAACAGCCUGGGGGGAUUCUACUCUCUCUCUCUCUUCCGCUCAUUUGUCAGCCUAGUAGCUACAGUUGUGACACUAAUGCUCUUGGAGGCAUGCCCUGUUUGUCAACAGCAAAAAAGAGAGCCCUGGAAGCCAAACAAACAGUAAAUGUAUGUGUUUUAAGGAGCAAUGUUUUCUUGGGAGUGUUAAUGGUGGCAGGAAAGUGAGCAAGCCAGGCACUCGGCUCAUCUGCAAGCCAAAAGGCCAUGCAGAGUUCUAUGCCUGCAAUAGGGCUUCUUUCCAUCACAUAGAAUGAAAUUGAUUUAUCUAUUUUAUCUUGCUUUUUGAAAUCUGUCUAAUAUCAAAGCAGCACGUGCUGGAAGGUUUUGGUUUUUACAGCCCUAUUGGGUGGGCAACCAAUUUUCUGUUGAGGGCCACGCUCCUUUGGGGUAAUCUGUUCCAGGUCACAUGCUGGCUGUGGCAGGUACGGAAGUGAACCCAUUUUUCCUCUUCUUUUUGCCACCUCUUUUCUCUCCCACUCUCUUUCUUUCUGCCACCCCAUUACCAUUUUCCUCCCUUUUAUCUGGCAAUCCCUUCUCUCUUCUCUCUGCCCAGUGGGCUUGCCAGAGGUCUGCUCAGAUCACUUGCACUGGGCUUUUGAAAUUAAAUUGAGGGCCACAGGACUACAUCCAUACAAACCUCCUUGGAUCUGCCUCACAGGUUCUUUUUGCAGGCCUGCCUGUAAAAUCAGUGGUUGGUGGGCAUGAAAGACAGGGCUUUCUCAGUGGUGACCCCCCUGGUUGUGGAACUCCCCACCGAGCUGCAUAGUGAUCCCAACACUGCAACCUUUUAAACAGGCUUUAAAAACCUACCUGUUUGGGGUUGCCUUCUCUUGUAAUCUUCUAGUGCUGCUGAAAUUGAGAAUGUUGAGCUGAUUUGAAAUGUUUUAUUUGUCAGAGACAAAGUCCAACAAACCCAGCACUUUAACAAAGUAGUCCUGCUCAGGGACUUAUUUGCAUUUUGAUCACACCACUGAUCUCUAUAUACAUACAAGGGAACCAUGUGUAUGCAGUCUACAUUUGGGAUCAUGUACAGUUGAUCUAGGGCCCUCCAUUUUCUAGGACAAAGGACUGUGCGUUCAGGCAUAUACAUAGGUUCUGUGCAAAUUCCACCCCUAAAUGCAUGGAAGCCAGGGGGUGGGGCGGGCGUGGUGCAGAAGAUGGCAUCCUAAUCAUGCCACACAAAUAUAUGUUUAUUUGAACUCCUUCAUAGAGCUGUUGCUAAAGGCUCUUCACCACUGUUUUCACACUACAUUAAUUUACUUUACAACAGCAGGUCUGGCAGCAAUGUGUGGCAUUCAUGGGCAGCUGUUGAAGCUCCAACACCCUGAUAGGGCCAGGGGCAGAUUUUGAUUUUUCAGAUUUCAGCAGUGACCUGUGCACUCCCCUGCUUCUUGCCUUCAAAUCUGCUCAAUUCAGUGCGUCAUAGUUGUGGCACCCUGGAGCACCUCCUAGACUUGGUACCUAGUGCGGCGAAGCAGCUUGCACUGCCCUAAAUCCACCUCCGAUAGGGCCCACCUAGAACCCUCUUUAAGCCUUCUUUUCCCCAAUUCUCCAAUCAGCAUCAGGUGAUUAAGGUCACUUCCAAACAACCUGUUUAUUAAGAAUUCACCCUGAUUUGUUUGUGCAGCCUGAAGGGAGGUUAGAUGAACAUUCAUUCUUCUUUUCAUUUAGGGAGGUUAUACAAAGUUGCAUCAAUCUAUUUUUUAUAGUGCAGUUUUCAGUGCACGUUCUCUGUUACUUUCCUUUUUGCAGAAAGUCUGAUUUUGUGGGGCAGCCAUUGUAGUGCAUGAGCGCCAAAUCAACUGUCAUUGUGCAACCUGAUUUUGCCAGAUGUGAUUGAAUGCUACCCACAAAUAGUGACUGUCUGGAAGUGCCCUGGGUUAGGAAACUGCCAUUACAAUUUCCCACAAUGCCUGGGUAGCCAACGUGGUGCCCUCCAGAGGUUGUGAACGCCACCAGCCACCCGUGUAGCAAAUUGUCACUGAGCUGUAGUUCAACAAUUUCCUGAGGGCACCACGUUGGCUACCCAUGACCCAGAAUGUAUGGUUGCCAUAUGUCUGGAAUUUCUCAGAUGUAUACAGAAUACUUUAGUCAGCAGCAGUGUCCAGGCAGAAAUCGGCAACAACAACUUUUGUGUCCAAAUUUUCACUGUUUGGGAUAUGGCAACCCUACAGAAUGAUGGUAUUUGGGGGGGGGGCAUUGCUGGAAAUUUAAAUGGCAGGAACAUAGGAAGCUACUUUAUACUGAGUCAGACCAUUGUCCAUCUAGCUCAGUAUUGUCUACACUGACUGUCAGCAGUUCUCCAGGAUUUUUGACAGGAGUCACUUCUGGCUGUACCUGUGGAUGCUGGGGUUUGAAUUUGGUACCUUCUCCAUGCAAAGCAUAUGCUCUGCCAAUGAGCUAUAGUCCUUCCUUAAUCUACUAUUUUGGGUGACUCUGAAAGCUGGUAUUAUAAGAGGGAGGGGAAUUCUUAAUGUUUUAAUGCAGAUUGUAUGUUUAUAACCUUCUGCCAGUGAAACUUAUGCUGUUUGCUUACAGUUGCGUGAAAGCAGUUUUAUUAACAUUUAUCAGGUUUGAACUGUGGCUGUAAAAAUGAAUGUCAGAGUGAACACCUGACUUCCAAGACCCAGUAUGACUUAAUGAAUCAUUUUUUAUGUCUAAUGAAGUAACCUGUACUCUUUCUGGUAUAAUGUUUUUGUUCCCUUGAUGAGUCUAAAAAUGGCAGGGAACAUAUUUCAAGUUUCUUUGUGUCUGUUGAAGUUUACAUGGGGGGGGUGGAGGGAACAGCAGGUGGGGGGCUCCACAAGCUAUCUGAGGAAUGUGUCUUUCUCUUUCUUAGUGGUUUUGUCCCCUCUCUGUCUGACACGGCAGGCAUGCUGAACAGGAGUGGCAUGCGAAUCGAUCGGCAGGCAAUCAGUGACACGGCGGCUGGCCAGAGCCAAACUCCAUGCCAUCGAUCGGCUCCAAAUCAAUUUGCACACUGCAUUCUCCGCUCAGGUUACCUGCCAUUUCAGGCAUGGGGAAGAACAGUGAAGUGAGAAGGAAAUUGCACCCAAGUAUUUUGGGACCUUGGUCCGUAACCUCAAAGGUUGCACACCGCUGACCUUUCCUUGUUUAUAUGUCUGUGCCUACGCUCUGUCAGAAAGUAUGAGAUGGAUCUGUUUUGGUACGUGGUGGAAGGCUAGAUUAUUCUGCAAGCUCCCUGUAUAGCAAAACCAUUUGUGAAUGUUAGCUUUAGAAUCCAUUGCUUGCAUUCUGAAAUGGUACAAUCCAGGACAGCUCACAGUAUGAUAGCUAUUUAUUUUGUGGUCUAGGUAUCUGGUCAGGCCCCUCUUUUCCAAACUACAGUGGUGCCUCGCAAGACGGAAUUAAUCCAUUCCGCGAGUCUCUUCGUCUUGCGGUUUUUUCGUCUUGCGAAGCACGGCUAUUAGCGGCUUAGCGGCUUAACGGCUAUUAGCGGCUUAGCGGCUAUUAACGGCUUAGCGGCUUAGCGGCUUUAAGAAAAAGGAAACAAACUCGCAAGAACUCGCAAGACGUUUCGUCUUGCGAAGCAAGCCCAUAGGGAAAUUCGUCUUGCGGAACGACUCAAAAAACGCAAAACCCUUUCGUCUAGCGAGUUUUUCGUCUUGCGAGGCAUUCGUCUUGCGGGGCACCACUGUAGAUAUUGUUACAUUCUUUGCAUCCUGCCCUCUUUCCAAGUUGCUCAGGGCAGUCCACGUGGUUUCUGUUUCCCCACCCAUUGCAUCCUCAUAACAACCCUGUGAGAUAGGGUUGAAAGACAGUGACUACAAGCUCAGGGCUAGGCUUUUGCAGAAUUGAUUUUGCAAAUUAAAAGUGAGAUAUGAAAGAUUAAACAGGGUUUAAUUUAAGAUCAUAGAAGCUGUAUUAUCAGAUGAAACCAAUGUCCAUCUAGUCCUAGGCUGGAAGUUCAUAAACAAGGUAUGAAAUUUAUAAUUAUGCCCUGUCUCCAACAUCUCAUAUUCAGACUUUGAGAUCAUGUACAUACAGACUCUAUUUUGCUAUAAUGGUGAACAAGGGUUGUUAAAAAUAACCUCCAUGAAUUUGUCUAAUCAUUCCCAGUACUUAUGUUCUUAAAAAGAGAGAGAUGUUAGCAGAGGCCCUUGCACCUUUGGCAAGGAGCUGUAUUGGUGCCCCCCACCACAAAAAAUGCACUUUACUGCAACAUUAGAAAUUACACGCAAAUCUCUUUGAAGUAAAAAAAAAAGUAGGCCCCCCCACUGAAAUCAUUCAAACAUGCUGCUUUCAGUCUAGAUUGAUUCUAGAUGCUGCCAUCCACAAGGGUGGGUGUGCUUAUUUGAUAAGUGUUGGAAAACCCUUCCUUUGAUUAGGUUAUCUAUGCCUUCUCCUCCCUGUACAUGCCCAAGGUAAAUGAAGAAGGAUCUUGGUACAGGCUUUAGUGGGUCCACAGUGAUUUUCCUAUGGGUCCUACUGGGGACUUCAAUCAAAAUGUGAAUUUAAAUGAACUUUAGUUUACUCAGUCUUGUAUGAUAUUGUGACCCUUGUGCUUAUGCAGUGAAAUAUGUGCAUGCAAGGUCAUUGCACGCCAUCAUCUACCAGGCUGCAUGCUAAUUAUGAUGCACAAGUGACUUGCUGUGUAGGGAUUUUGUAGUGUUUAAAGUAACUCAUGGUUAGACUUGUAGGCAAUUUUUGUUCCUUCUGGUAUUGGCAAAGAGAGGCUCCAUGCUUUACAGGGCAUUCAUGCUGGCUGUGAGCAUGCUGGGUGCUUCCCAAAGAAAACUUCAGAACCAUCAGAGGCAAUAAUGCUUCUGAAUACCAGUUGCUUGAAACCUCAGUGGGUUUCCCACUGACAUUGGUCAUCAGCCUGAUCCAGCAGGCUCUUCUUGCGUUCUUGGGUUAAUAGAAUCAUAGAAUUUAGAGGACCAAAUAUGUAAAAGGUGAACAAUAGAUAUGCUUCCUUAUGUUGUCUGUGUACCCAUAGGAAACACGGUGGCUGCAAAAAAUUGUGUGGGUCCUCAGAGGGCAAGUCUCUACUGGAGGGUUUAGAUUACUUGUUUCCUGCAGUUCCCUUCAUGUAUCCAAAUAGGACUUGCCCUUAGAGGGGCAACUCAUAAAGGAGUUACAGGCUCAGAAUUCCCCCAUCCCAUAGAUGAGCAGCACAUGCACACAUUCUCACAUGUAUAGAGUGCCAUCUCACACAGGUUGGCCCACCAGCAGUGGACAGGGCUAACCCAUCACAUAUUGUUUAAGUCAGGGACUGAAAACCUGUGCACUGCCACUGGGAGUUCUUGGACUGUAGCUACUAUCAUCCCUGGCCAUUGGCAACAUUGGCUGAGGCUGAUGGGAGUGGCCAGCAGCCUCUGGAGGGUUAGAUCAAAUGCACACACACACACACACACACACACACACACACACACACACACACACACACACACACACACACACACACACACACACACACACACACACACACACACACACACACACACACACCACUCCCUCCCUGAGGAGUGAAAGGCCUUAAAGGAAAAUUCUUUGGUCUGGAGCCUAGCACUCCAUUUCUUGGUUAAUUCCCCCAGGCUUGUUGCCUGCAUUGAUGAGCCCUUAUUGGGAUGCAUAGGAUCCCUAGCAUGGAAGGUGACAGUUUUUUGGGUGUUGCAAGCUAUUGCCUGUGGAGAUCUCUGUUUUGAAUCUAAGCCACAAGCUGUUUUCUGUGCUGUUGAUCUGACUGACACUGUUGUCCCAUCAUUCUCUGGCUGCUGCUCAGAGGGUCAUGACACCGAUUUACUUUCGCAACCCAAUCCACAGAACUCUGGGAAUGAUAUUUCUGAAGAAGAUGCUCAGACUUCUCCACUAGAGCCCACACAGCGGAACUUCAUAGGCUUGCCAUACAUUAGCAAAAUUCCUAACAUGUCCUGGUUUUGGGGUGUAAAAAUCGUGUCGGGAGGAAUCUUGCUGAAUUGCGGGUGUCAGGAAUUUUACUUUUUGAAAUAUGGCAACCUAGAACUUCAGUUCUCGGUGCUCUGUAGGAAAAGGAAAAUUGUGAUUAAUCUUAGCCCUGGGGUGUCAUUCUGAAGGGGCUUAUGGGUGAAAAUGGACUCAGUGCCCCCCAUGUCAUGUCAUGAUGCAGCAUCAUUCCAAAGGCAUUCUGGGGGGAGAAAACAGCACACAGCAGCCAUCACAAUGUGUUUCACUGGUGCUAGUAUUCUACAGUAUGCCUCUGAAUAGUGAUUGCUGACAAUCACAAGUGCGGAGAAAGCAGUCAUGCUCAGAUCCUGUUUGAGGACUUCUCAGGAGGCAACUGCUUGGUCACUAUGAGAACAAGAUCAUGGACUAGCUGGGCCUUUGGCCUGAUCCAGCAGGGCUCUUAUGUCUUUAAUGGGUAUUCAGAGGUAUACUGCCUCUGAACGUAAAGAUUCUACUUAGCUAUGAUAGCUGCCUUACAGGAACAUAAAAAUAGCCCUUGUGAAUCAGACCAAAGGUCCAUACUGUUAGCCAAUAGUGGCUAACAAGACUUCUAGAAAGAUGGCUAGUCACAAUGGCUAUGUUCUCUAUUGUCUGAGGCAAUAUGCCUAUGAUUACCAUUCACUGGAAAUUGCAAGUGUGGAGGAUGCUGUUGCACUCAGAUCCUGCAUGCUGGCUUCCCAAGAGGCAUCUGGUUGGCCACUGUGAGAGAACAGGAUACAAAACUAGAUGGGCCUACAGACUGAUUUAGGGCUCAUUUUGCAUUUUUAUGCAAAUCAAUGAACCGCUGCUGCUGCUGCUGCUGCAGGGAAAGGGAAGGCCCAACAUUUGGGAUUCCCAAAUUUAUUUUAUUUGGGAUUCCCCCUCCUCAGCAAUGGAGUGUUGACUUGUGGGGGAGGGGGAAGAUUUUGCCUCAGCAGUACUUCUUGACAAGUUUGAUGGUACCUGCAGUACAGAAUUUAGAUCUCAAGAUGGCACCAGCUGCCUGCUGAAAUUAGGCUUGGCAGCAGUUAUACAUAAUAAACAAAAGGUUUUCACAGUUUGCUGCUUUCAUGUGGUGAGAGACUUUUGUGUCUAUUGAGAUGGUGUUUGCCAUAGUUGUGUGGCUUGCUGUCCAUGCAGAGCAGGAGAAUAAUCUAGAUAUACAUAGACAAUAGACAAAGCUACACAAAAAAUUAAGAAGCCUUCACUUAACUGGAAAGGCUUUCCUAUAAAUUCCUUUGUAGCAUAAGAAGAGCCUUGCUAGAUCAAGCCAAUGUCACAUCUCCUCAAGCAUCCUGUUUUCAGUGACCCACCAAAUGCCUCCUAGGAAGCCCUCAAGCAGAACCUGAGCACACAUACCCUUCCCCACUUGUGAUAGUUGGCAUUCAGAGGCAUACUACCUCUGACUGUGGAGGUAGAGCAUAAGGCAUCUUUUUAACAAAUUGAAAGUGACAUAAAAUGGUGUUUAACGUGUUAUCUAAAAAGAGUGAUCCAAAUCCUCUUUUUUGCUCAAAAAAAUUCCUUUAUUGAACAACAACAGCAAAAUGAUUGCAGAAUUUUUAAGAUCAACACCAAAGCAAUGGCAAAAAGGAAUGGGAAGUUUGAUGAUGGUAGCUGAAGUUUGAUGGUGUAUUCUCCUUAUUUCUUUAUAUCAUCAUCAUCAUUUUAAAUGGUGCUUUGCAAAGCAACCUAAGCAGAAAAUACAAGCUCCUUUCCAGGAAAGUUAUACUCUAAGUUUUGACAUCAGGGGAGGCAAUAGAAAGAGAAGGCAGAGCAGCUAACAGAGGGAAAUGUGCCAAUGCAGUUUCAUGUACUUACCUGUGGCUUCAGUAGAGCUUUGGGAAUAAAGGGAUUGGGAACUUGUGUUGGGGAAGGUUAUUAUUAUGUUAUGUAUUUUGUGUCUUUAUGCUGUAAAUGGCCCCGUGAUCUUUGGAUGAAGGGCAGUAUAAUAAUAAUAAUAAUAAUAAUAAUAAUAAUAAUAAUAGUAAUAAAAAUACAGACCUAAGCAUCCUUACUAAAGAUUAAGUUCCAUUGGACACACAGCAGGGCAUAAAGGUAAAGGUAAAGGGACCCCUGACCAUUAGGUCCAGUCGUAGCCGACUCUGGGGUUGUGGCGCUCAUCUCACUUUAUUAGCUGAGGGAGCCGGCAUACAGCUUCCUGGUCAUGUGGCCAGCAUGACUAAGCCGCUUCUGGCAAACCAGAGCAGCACACGGAAACACCGUUUACCUUCCUGCCGGAGCGAUACCUAUUUAUCUACUUGCACUUUGACGUGCUUUUGAACUGCUAGGUUGGCAGGAGCAGGGACCAAGCCACAGGAGCUCACCCCGUCGUGGGGAUUCAAACCUCCCACCUUCUGAUCGGUAAGUCCUAGGCUCUGUGGUUUAACCCACAGCACCACCCGUGUCCUCAGCAGGGCAUACUCGUGUGUAAAUAAGCAUAAAACUGAGCAGCAUUUGAAUAUUUUCAUGUCCAGGGGUUGAAUCACAAGCCAAGAGUCAAGAAAAUGAAAUUAUAGGAUACUAAUCUAGAGUUGCCCUUGAAAGAUGUCACCCAGAUCAAACUUUAAAGCAAAUUUGUAGUGUUCCUGUUCAAGGGGAAUUUGGGGUGUGUGUGUGUGCGUGUGUAUUUUUAGUAAGACAGCCACAAUUUCUCUGGGUAGUUUCACACAUUUACAAGGAUUAUAUUUAUCUCACAACUUCCUCUAGGUAGUUCAAGGUGGUAUAUAGUACAUGUACCCCUGUUGUCCUCACAACAACCCUCUGACAAGGUAGUUUAACAGGAGCAAUUGGCUCAAGAUCAGCCAACCAGUAGGUUUGUGGGAAUUUGAACUCUUUCCCCCACCCCGCAUCUAAACACAAUGCUCUUAUCUACUAUGCUAUACUGGCUCUAUGACUGAUUUCUGCAGCAAAGUAGUGGGCAUGGAAUAGAUUGAUAUCUACACUUUAACUGGCUCUAGCUUUUAGAAAUGGCAUGUAGCAUGAAGUUGAUUCCAGUCCUCGAUCAAGAAAUUAUUUUAACCUAUAAUUGUCUGGGUCAAAUGAGAUGUGGGAACAUAAGCCGUCAGGAAUCUUUAAAAACAACAACACCACCAAAACACAAAACUCCAGUAGCUGGUAUCAGUGGUGCUGCAUAAAACAUUUUUAGAAUCCAGAAACAGCUCUUCUUUCCUAGGUGAUUUCUGUAUUUAUAUUACUGGAUUUCAUAGGGCUUCUCAGGACUUUUUCCUUUUACCCACACACAUCUUUAGUUGCCUAUACUAGCUGAAGUCCCUCAGUGAUGGCCUGGGGUACUUAUUCAUCAUCAUAACAACCGUUUAGUGUAAAAUUAACAGCUUAACUGCUAUGGCUAUAAACAGGGGCCUGCAUUACUGCAGAUGGAUGAGGAUUACUUAGUUGCAGUCAGAAUGCAGACAGAAAGAAGAACAAACAAAGUAUGGCUACAUUUUGGGUUUUUCAAAAGGUUAAACAUGUUUAAAGGAUGAUUUAUAUCUGAGUGGUUUGCAAACUUUUACCCUCAGGGAUCCCUUUCCACAGGCAUUCCCUCUGCAUCUUGCAGAAGUGCCUAGACAUGGAUCCCCAGCCUCUCUUUGGGCCCAAGGGCACUUUUGGAAGUCUAAGAAACUGUCAUGGGUACCAAAUACUAAUUUCACAUUAAAAAACAUUGCAGUGCUUAGAAACACCCCCAAAGAAGGAGGAGGAGGAGGAGGAGAAAAUGUACUUCCCCGCCACACAAAAACACACAGAGAAAAAUCUGGCUAACUCUCAAAAUGAGCCACCCGACCUACAAAAGAGCCCCAAACCCCUCAAAUGUUUCAAAACAGACUUUGUUUUUUUAAAAAUCCCAACAAACCUAAAUUUUGAUAUAAGAAUUGUAAAAUUAGGAGGGGCAGAGAGCCUUGAUAGUUUGCCUGAGGUUCCUAUGGUGCCCAUGAAUGCCACCUUGGGUAUCUCAUGGCUAGUGUGUUCCAUGGAAAAUAUGUAGCUCAGUGAUAGCUCACAGCCAGAGCAUCUCAGAGCCGCCCCCCCAAACCCCAUGACAUUGGCAGCUCUUUCAGUGCCCGAAGGUGUAGCAAAGAGUUGGAGGUCUGAUUUAAAAGAAGGUGGGGGUGAGAAUUUCAAACACAUCACCUUUGCCCAUAGCCCACUUCUGUCCAAGCUGGGUAUGCCUCUAGCAUUUCAGCAUGACUAAGGAGAAAAAUAUUUUUGGAGAAAAUCUGUAGGUAUGUGGGGCAUAGUGCAGGGGAGAACUCUGCACCCCUCAACCAACCAUACCUGAAGAUGCCAGGGACUGAACCUGGGGCUUUUUGAAUGCAAGGCAGAUACUCUAGGACUGAGUUAACCAUGCCAUUUUGAGGAUAAGCCUUAAAUGUGGUUUGAAAACUGGUGUGUGUGUGUGUGUGUGUGUGUGUGAGAGAGAGAGAGAGAGAGAGAGAGAGAGAGAGAGAGAUAUGUUGGUGAUUAAAAACAUUCAUUUUAAAGAAUUGCCUUUGCAGCUGAAAUAAGUUCUGAGCCUCAUUUGUAAACUACCAUUAAGAGAAGGUUGCAGGGGAUCUGGCCUGCUGGCAGAAUGUGGCCCUCCAGUAUGCUUGAUCACAUCCUUCAUGACACACAUCCCUCAUGACUUUCACCAGGCCACUCUCUCUCACCAGGCCUUCAAAGGCUUUCUCUGUCUUUAGCUGGGCUAAUGUCUCUUCCUUCUCUCAAAGGAAGAUAUAGAGAUAAGGACUUCUACAUAGCUGGAAGGUAGCCUACUAUAGAAUGUUAAGAGUGAAAUCCGUUAAUCUGGCCCACUUUGGCUCUGGCACCACUCACCACAGGCAGUUUACCCAUAAGAGAAUGUAUUCCUCAGAUUGAAAAAGUUUUCCCACCCUUGGUCUAUCCAAUCAAAUGUGUCACACAGUGCCAUGUUGACAUCUUGUCACGUGAUUCCUUGGGACAAGCAUUUUAUUAUUUUUAAAAAGUCCAGACUGAGAACAGUCUAUAGCUGUCUGUUUCCUACUGAGAAUCUGCCCCCCCCCAACAGUGUUGUUCAUAGCCAUAUAGCAUCCAGUGGGUUUUCCACAGAAACUGGCAGCGAUAUGAAACAAUCAUGAUUCAAUCCACGGGGCUGCUUUUGCUUCAAAAAUAAAGUUGUAGUGUUAAACAUAGUGUAAAGUUUGACCCUUUGAGUAGACAAGAGAUGGGGAACAUGUGGCUCUGAUGGACUCCAGCUCCCAUCAGCCUCAGCAAGCAUAGCCAGUAGUCACAGAUGAUGGGAACUCUAGUCCAAUGACCCCUAGAGGGUCCCUUUUCCCCAACCUCCAGAACAUCUAGUUGGGUCUUUAAACAUUGCUACCUUAGACAGAAUUGUGCAAUAGGAUAGCCCCACACAAAUAAAACAUGAUAGGUCUUGGUUUGUAGCUCUCCCUCCCUCAGAUAGCAAACCAAAGGACAAACAAAAAUGCUUAAGCACACCUAGAGCUGCAUCUAAACACAAAGGAGUGGGGGGAGAUACCAAACAAGCUUCCCCCCCUCUGUUUUCUCCCUGAGCCAAGUAAUCCCUUUGAUUACAUCUAAUACCUGCCAAAACCCAGAUGGUAUGCCCACCCAUCUCACAGUGUGAUAAUGGCACAUUGCAAAAUCUACCCAUUAAUAUUAAUUGUCAGCCAGAGAAUCUUUCUGAACUACUAUAGCUUGAGAUUGCCUUGUGAAAGCGGGGCACGGUUUAGUAGGGAUUUUACAAUAAUUCCCAUUCUUUCAUCCCAAGUCUCACAUAUGUGGAAUGUUAAACAACACUCAUCGCAUUUCUGUCAUUCUCUGCCACUUGCAAUCCUGGCCUUAAAUAUCUCUGCAUUUGGGGUCCUUCACCUGCUGACCAAAGGCCUACCUUCAAAUUGCCACAAGCUACACAAUUGUAUACCUCAGAGCAUGCUACACAGGGUGUUCCCUUUCCCCUGAUAGUACCUUGGAUUGGCAGUACUCCAGCAUAUAAUAUAUGCCUUGCUUGUCAGUCAUGGUAUACUCCACUGUACCUAAUUUCCAAUGGACACACAAACCCUGGAACUCCCUGGAAUUUUUUCACCGAUUGUCAGAGAUUGGGGGAGGUGUGCAACAGUCUUUUGUCUUCCUGUUUUGUAUGUUUAUCUUAUGAACCACCCUGUGAUCUUCAGAUGUAGGGCGGUAUACAAAAUGUAUAUUUAAAAUGCACUGUUCCCUACUACUAGACACAUGAGUGGGUCUGUUCUCUGAAUCUUAUCUGAACAAUUGCUUUCUUCUUUACUGGUUUUAUUCCAUUAUCUCAUUUAUUCAUUUAUUUCACUAAAGCCAUGAUUCUGUUGAUUUGUUUUGCUGUUUCCAAGCGCUCUUUGCAGAAGAUACAAAAAAGGAGAGCCUGGUAAAUGCUGGACUAAAUGGCUCCAGCUGAACAAUGGCAAGUGGUGGACAAAAUACGCCUGAGGUUACUAAAAGGACCUUAAAAAUAAGCAGGCUGUGACAUGUUAAAGAUGCAUUAUUUGAGAGUCGGGGGCAGAGGAGGAAUGAAGGGCAGGGGGAAAACUCUAUGGAUAUAAUUUAGCCCUUGCAACAAGGUCAAACUGAUUUAAUCCCCCCUGGAAAGGUCAAGGAAAGGCCUGGCUGACCUAACCUCUGUGCUCUCCAUCUGUCUGCUCCUGAAGCCAGACACUUUCAAUAGGGGAUUGUGUGUUCUUGGCUGGCUGCAAACAAAUUGAAGUAAUCACCAGGUCUAGGGGCCUUCUCAAAGUGUUUGCUAACAUUCUCCCAGUGCCUCUGGAAGUCACAGUCAAAACCUCCUUCACUUCCCACCCCCGAUGCUAGAAUCAUAAAAAUGCAGUGGUUUCUUAACAUGCCAAGGUUCACUGAACUUUCCAAAUUCACUGGUAAAGCCACCAACUCCAGUCUUCAAAUGCAGCUACUCAGCAAGUCAUCUUUUCAGCCACAUACUCCAGUUCUUCCCUUUCUUUGUUGAAUUUUAGACUGCAAACUCUUCAGGGCAGGGACCUCUCCUCUUGUACUAAGCCCCAUGCACUCUAAUGGCACAAUAUCAACAAUAAAGAGUACAUAGAGUUGGUUGAGUAUCAAGUUCACAGACACUGUUUAGAGAAACUGAAGAGCAGAAUAUCCUUGUGAACAAAUCCAACAACAACAACAACAACAACAACAACAACAUCCCUGUUCUUGAGCUUCUUUAGCACAGGAGUAGGGGACAUUUAAUCAUAUGUCCUUAUGGGGAACCUUCCAGGGGCUGUGUGCCAGUAGUGGGUCUCUCCAGAAGGAAAAGUUGGAACAGUAAUGGAUGUGACUCUUCUCUUUGUACAGCCUGCUACAUUCUAACCACACAAAAGGCAGAUAGUUCUACACACCCAACUUUCAUUCUGCCAUCCAGGCCAGCAAAAAGUUGGGACUGAAGACCUAUUUCAGCCAGGAGAGGGCAUGACACAGGACCAAUGAAGGGUGUGACAUUGGGAGAGCUCUCACAGCCAGAUAGAAAGGCCUGAAGGGACACAUAGCCCUCUAAGCCUGAGGUUCCCGACCCCUGCACUAUAGUGCUUUAAAUUACACACAGCCUAAAUCAGUUUUGAUGCAUUUAGGGGCAGAGCUGAGCUGGAAGAUCCAUGCCUGCCACCACUGCAAUUCUGGUUCCAGAGGGGCCCCUCCUGUGUCUGUGGGGCCAGCAUGAACCUCCAAAUGGCUGUGGCAGGGGUAAGCAUUAUCAUGGGCAUCAUGGAGCUUGGAGCUAAUAUAUAAAUUUCCUUGCCACUCCCCCCAGAUAUAACAUUGCUAUAUCUGGGGCACUGUGGAAAAUUAAAAGCUGGGGACACUAUGUAGAAAAAAUUAAAUGGCAGCUCAAAGUCACCUAGCACUCAUUGAAGCACCAGAAAAUAGGAUCCCAGCAUAGCUGAUGGGGUGGGCCUUGCUAGGCCACUGGUGCACCAGCAGCUGCCUGAGAAUUCCAGGUGCUAGCAGUGGCCCUGUGACACUUUUGUAGUUUGGAAUGUACACACAGUAGGAAGCUGAAGCCAAUCUCAGCUUCUCAAGUAUACCUGUGCAAGAUGUAUGUUUGCAAACACGUUUGUCAUAUUUACAUUACAGUAUACUUUCUUUUUUAAAAAAAGUUUACCCUCCUGAAAAUGUAAUGUGUGAAACAGCCCUUAGGUGUGCAGAAUAUUUUGUAACAGGUGUAAUGAAACAAAAUACAUAAGAGCAUAUUGCUGGAAGGAGCUUUCGCACCAAUUUGCUUCCUCCAAAAUGAGAACAAAUGAUAAAACAGAAGCUGAUGCAGCAUUUUACUGAACAAUGUGUGUGUGUGUGUGUGUGUGUGUGUGUGUGUGUGUGUAUAGUACUUUUUUGGUAUGUAAAGUAGAGAAUUCUUUAAAAAUAAUUGUCAGGGUAGGACAGAUAUGUAGCAUACCGGUGUGUGUGAGAGAGAACAAUUUUCAUCUCAUACAAAAUGGCAACAUGCUUCUUUUCAUUUGAAAUAUGAACCUGCACUAUUAGAAACUGAGCAAACAAGUUAAGGAAAACAGGACCAGAGCUCUCCCCCUCCCCUGCAAAAUAUUUAUUUUAUUGAUAAAAGCCAUUGCAAGAGAUGCAUUCAUUCCACACACACACACCCCUUUAAAGAGAAGAUUCUAUGUUUAGUGGAAGUGAUUUGUUUCUGUUCUGCCUAAAGAAAGACUACCAUUAUUAUUUCAUAUUGACAGAGGUUGUUAGAGUUAAAUGACUGACCUUAUUUGUUUGGGCUAAGAUAUACACCAGGAUUCUCCAUAAAUAUUCCAGGCUCCUCUCCUGAAUUUUCCUUAAAAAAACAAAGAACCAAGUCGAUAGCACUUGCACUUCCAGAGGUACUAGAGAAAAUGGGCAGGUAUUUUUUCCUGAUCAAUUCGGCAGCAUACUAACUAGGACUUGUAUUGUUUAGUCAAUUAAUUGCAGGAGUGAUGCAUCUCUUUGGCUCCACAGGCCAGAUCUUUAUCUGAUCAUAGCCUCAUGAGCCAAAUUUGACCUGUGAGCCUGGCCAUCCACAAGUCAGUCACCUGAUGUCACAAUGAUGUCAGGUGAUUGACCACUUUGAAGUCCCUGAAUCAGGACUUCAGACAUCACACAGGACUUGCUAAGAGGACCUGGUCCACUUGAACAAACUGUGGAUUUGUUUGCUAAAGUCACAAAAUAUGCAGCAAAGCAAAGCAUGGAAAUAUAAGCUGCUACAUCUUUAAAAUAUGCCGUUUAAAGUGAGUUCCAAAGUUUCUUCUUCCCCAAGCAUAGGGAAAAACCACAUGUUUGGUAAGUUAAUAAUUGCUUUACUUACAAACGCUUCAAAGCUCAGGUUCAUGUGCUUUUCCACACAUCAGUCAGAAAAGUUGCGCACACAGUAAACCUUGGCUUAGUUGCAAAGUGGUGAAAGUUCCUAAAUUAUUGAGAUAGGAACUCAAGAGAUCAGCUUGACAGGGCCAUGCAGCUAAGCUGACACAACCAGCUUAGCCUCUUCACAUAUUGAGUUCAUCAGGUAGACUUAAGGGGUUCAGGUAGACUGAAAGGGAACAAAGGCUUGACUACCUAGUUUCUCCCAAGGUGAACUAAGCCUGGCAGGACAUCUUUCUGUAUGGUAUUAAUCCCUUCAUGCAUUAAUUAGACUUAAGCAUGUGGGUUAUAUGAGGUUGGUUAACCCACAGUUUAAGGCAGCUUCCUAUGUUGUGGAGGGUCAUAAGUUCCCCCUCCCCACGUGUGCCUCCCUUGCCAUCUUAUUUGAAGGAAUAGUACAACACCUUGUCCUCAAAUUGCUACUCACCUGUUGUAAUUAAAUAAGCUGGCUCAGAAGAGGCUUUAGAUGCAUUUUCUUUUUUUUCUCUUUUUAAACAAAACUCCUCUUUCCUCUGUGUAAGAAGAGGCACCCUUGGAAUAUUUUAAUAACCAAGUGGUAGCAUUCUUAAAUUAGAAGUGCGAGCCUGGAAAAGAAAGCAGGGGGAGAACACAAAACACAACCUGACAUGCUCUUAUUAUAGCAAUGCCCAUACUCCUUCUUCAGGCACAGGAGAAAUGAGACAAUUUCUUAAUUAUGACAAGAUUUGGGGGGGGGAGAGGGGGAAAGCUUACAUUCUCUGUUUCUUCCUCUCCCCCUCCCCCAUUUCCCAGACUGCAAAGUUCUCAAAAACCAAGCAUAACACUUUAAAUGAAAGGGAAGGGAACUGGAAGUAUGUAUUAUUAUUAUUAUUAUUAUUAUUAUUAUUAUUAUUAUGGUAUCAUCUGUUCUUCCCUCUCAAUUCUGUUACUCUUCCCUUAUUUUUUAAAAUUGUAUUUAUUAAAUUUAUUUUCCACCCUUCAUCCGAAAAUCACAGGGUGGCUUACAACAUAAAACACAAAAUAAAAACUCAAAACAUAACAUAAUGACAAUAUAGGAAUAAUUUUCUUAUUGUCUGUCUCCCCACAGAAGCAUGUUGUUAUUGUUGGCCUCUCCCACCCCAACACAUUUAAAAGGGCAUGGAUUGUUUAAUUAGCAAAGGCCAGGUUGUAGAGGAACAUUUUUGCCUGGCACCUAAAGCUAUGUAAUAAAGGGGCAGUACGUAAUAAAUUCUUUAUUGGAGGAAAGAAUGUCACAAACUGGGAGCUACCGCAGAAAAGGCCUAUUCUUGUGUUGCCACCCUCCAGAUAUUUCAUGGAGGGGGAACACAAAGAAGGGCCUUAGGUGAUGAUUGCAGGGUCAAGGUUGGAUCAUAUGGGGAGAGGCGGUCUUGAGGCAUUGCAGUUCUGAGCUGUUGACCUCACUUCUGUUUUUCCAAAGGAAUAACAUAGUGUGUGUGUGUGUGUGUGUGUGUGUGUGUGUGUGCAUGUAAGUAAUGAGAUUUUCUUUUGUGAAAUCAUGCAGUUGCCUUUUGAUCAUUCACUCACAUUUUCAGAUUUAAAGAAUUUUGCUAAUGUAUAGUUUACCAGAUAUAUAGUUACUGCAUUCACUGUAGAGGAGGAGUGGUUAUACAAUUUUGACUAAGAGAGGGAUUUUGGGGUCAUAGUCAACAGCUCAAUGCAGACUUCAACCCAGAGUACUCUGCAGCAGCUGUGAAAAAAGCAAAUUUCAUGUGGAAUUCGUGGUAUGGAAAUACCGUUAUACAUAUCUCUGGUGUGACCACACUUGGAAUACAGUGGUGCCUCGCAAGACGAAAUUAAUUCGUUCCGUGAGUUUUUUCAUCUAGCGAAUUUUUCGUCUUGCGAAGCACGAAAUCCCAUAGGAAUGCAUUGAAAUUCAAUUAAUGCGUUCCUAUGGUCAAAAAAAGUCCAAUCAAAGCCAAAUUCGGUACAACAAGAGUUUAUUAACUGCUCUUUAAAGUCACACAUACUUUAAAGAGCAUAUCAAAAAUUGAAGGAACAAUAAAUUAAGUUUCUAAACAUGACAGGAAAAACAUUUAAAAAUCAAAAAGGGUACAUUACAUUUUCUAAGACUCUGGGGGACCACUCGAAGAAGGUUCCUCUUCCACUCUUUGCUUCUUGCUGAGGAACCUGUCCAUGGUCUGCUGCUUCAUCCGCCGUUUCAGCAGCUCCCUGAGAGGCGACAUGACCGUCGUAUCAAAAAUGUUCGCUUGGUCAUGUGCCACGUGCUUGUCAGGGUGGUGCCGCUCUGCAAAAGCCUGCACCUCAUUCCACUUCUGGCAAAUGUCCCUCAGUUCUUUGGAGGACAGCCGUUCCUCAGUUGCUUCCUCCUCUUCCAGCGAGGCCUGCUCCUGCGCAACCUCUGACUGCAGUGCAACCAGCUCCUGGGUGGUCAGCUCGUCGUCGUGCUCCUCCACCAGCUCGCAAACGUCCUCCUCUGUGACCUCCAGGCCCAAGGUCCUCCCCAAGGCAACAAUGUCCUGCACCACUGUCGACUCUGGUGCAUCAGAGUCACUUGGUGCCACACAGUCCGGCCACAGGCUGCGCCAAGCGCAAUUCAAAUUCCUCUGGCUGAUCCCCUUCCAGGCCGUGGUGAUCAUCUUCAAGCAGGUGACGAUGUCGAAGUGGUCCUUCCAGAAUUCCCGCAGGGUGAUGGUGGUGCAAUCAGUCACCUCGAAGCAUCGCCUGAAAAGCUCCUUGGUGUAGAGUUUCUUGAAAUUGGCGAUGACCUGCUGAUCCAUCGGCUGGAGCAGUGGCGUGGUGUUAGGCGGCAGGAACAUGAUGUUGAUGAAGCUGAACUCCUCCAACAAGUCCACCUCAAGGCCUUUAGGAUGAGCAGGAGCAUUGUCCAUCAGAAGCAAAGCCUUCAGCGGCAGGUCAUUGUCCAGCAGGUACUGUUUGACAGCAGGGCCAAAGGCAAGAUUGACCCAGUCCACAAACAGCACACGUGUGACCCAAGCCUUGCUGUUGGAUCGCCACAUGACACUCAGCCGCUCCUUGUCGACCUUGUGUUUCUUGAAGGCCCGUGGGUUCUCCGAGUGGUACACCAGCAGGGGCUUGAUCUUCAGGUCGCCGCUUGCGUUGGCACAGAAGAGCAGGGUCAGACGGUCCUUCAUGGGCUUGUGGCCAGGCAACUUGGCCUCCUCCUGAGUGAUGAAAGUCCUUUUGGGCAUCCUCUUCCAAAACAGCCCGGUCUCGUCGCAGUUGAAGACCUGCUGUGGAACGUAGCCCUCCGUCUUCACAACCUCCAGGAACUCCAAGGCAAAGUCUUCAGCCGCAGGAACAUCAGAACUGGCAGCCUCUCCAUGCCUGACCACGCUGUGGAUUCCGGAUCUUGCCUUGAACCGGUCAAACCAGCCUCUGCUUGCCUUGAAGACUUCUGGCUCGGCCGAGGUUCCUGGCUGUUCCCGGAUGAGGUCUGCGUGCAAGGCCUUGGCCUUCUCACAAAUCACGGCCUCAGUCACUGUGUCCCCUGCACGCUGCUUCUCUUCUAUCCAGAUGAGGAGCAACUUCUCGACCUCCUCCAGAACAGCUGGGCGGUUCUUCACGAUCCUGGUGACUCCCUUGGCUGCAUCAGUCGCAAGGAUCUUCUCCCUCAUCUUCAGGAUGGUCCCGAUGGUCGAUGGGUUCCUGCCGUACUCCCUGGCGAGGUCCGUCACACGCAUUCCACCGUCGUGCUUCCGGAUGAUCUCCUUCUUCAUCUCCAGCGUCACCUUCUCCUUCUUCCUCUCGCCGGCCUCCGCAGCAGCAGCAGUCUUCUUGGGUCCCAUGGCAGCACAGCUGUUACCUUUGUAAAACUCAGAAAAAGAAAAAUUAAAUCAGCAAUUCAAACCCACAACCAAGUCCUUGAAUUCCAAACACCCAACCCAAAAUCCAAAAACCCCAAAAAAAGUUUUAAAAGUUUAACUUACGAAAUGGCUGCAAAUCACCAAAGUCUUCAAAAUCCUCAAAUGGCUGCAAAAGAAAUUUUGGGAAAGCUUUAAAAAUCACCAAAGUCUUCAAAAACCUCAACUGUUCCCCCAGCCCCUCCCCAACUGUUGCAAACCCCUCCCCAACUGUUGCAAACCCCUCCUCAACUGUUCCCCCAGCCACCCAGCACACAGAAAUUCAAAACCCAGAAACUUUUUCAAAAAAAACAACAUGGCCCAAUGGUUACAGAAAACCAUAAAAAAUUCAAAAAAAGCACACAAGCUCCCAGAUUCCUGCAAACCCCUCCUCAGCUGUUCCCCCAUCCACCCAGCACACAGAAAUUUAAAACCCAGAAACUUUUUUUCAAAAAAACAACAAGGCCCAAUGGUUACAGAAAACCAAAAAAAUUCAAAAAAAUCACACAAGCUCCCAGAUUCUUGCAAACCCCUCCCCAGCUGUUCCCCCAGCCACCCAGCACACAGAAAUUCAAAACCCAGAAACUUUUUCAAAAAAAAACAACAUGGCCCAAUGGUUACAGAAAACCAUAAAAAUUCAAAAAAAGCACACAAGCUCCCAGAUUCUUGCAAACCCCUCCCCAGCUGUUCCCCCAGCCACCCAGCACACAGAAAUUUAAAACCCAGAAACUUUUUAAAAAAAAACAACAUGCCCCAAUGGUUACAGAAAACCAUAAAAAUUCAAAACAAAGCCCACAACCUCCCAGAGUCUUGCAAACCCCUCCCCAGCUGUUCCCCCAGCCACCCAGCACACAGAAAUUUAAAACCCAGAAACUUUUUCAAAAACAACAACAUGGCCCAAUGGUCACAAAACAUCAACAAACUACAAAACAAAGCCCACCAGCUCCCCGAUUCUUGCAAACCCCUCCCCAGCUGUUCCCCCAUCCACCCAGCACACAGAAAUUUAAAACCCAGAAACUUUUUCAAAAAACAACAACAUCGCCCCAUGGUCACAAAAAAUCAUAAAAAUUCCAAAAAAAGCACACAAGCUCCCAGAUUCUUGCAAACACCUCCCCAGCUGUUCCCCCAUCCACCCAGCACACAGAAAUUUAAAACCCAGAAACUUUUUUCAAAAAACAACAACAUGGCCCAAUGGUCACAAAAAUCAUAAAAAUUCAAAAAAAGCACACAAGCUCCCAGAUUCUUGCAAACACCUCCCCAGCUGUUCCCCCAUCCACCCAGCACACAGAAAUUUAAAACCCAGAAACUUUUUUCAAAAAAAACAACAUGGCCCAAUGGUCACAAAAAUCAUAAAAAUUCAAAAAAAGCACACAAGCUCCCAGAUUCUUGCAAACACCUCCCCAGCUGUUCCCCCAUCCACCCAGCACACAGAAAUUUAAAACCCAGAAACUUUUUCAAAAAACAACAACAUGGCCCAAUGGUCACAAAAAUCAUAAAAAUUAAAAAAGCACACAAGCUCCCAGAUUCUUGCAAACACCUCCCCAGCUGUUCCCCCAUCCACCCAGCACACAGAAAUUUAAAACCCAGAAACUUUUUUCAAAAAACAACAACAUGGCCCAAUGGUCACAAAAAAUCAUAAAAAUUCAAAAAAAGCACACAAGCUCCCAGAUUCUUGCAAACAACUCCCCAGCUGUUCCCCAUCCACCCAGCACACAGAAAUUCAAAAAUUCAAAGCCAGAUUUUUUUUAAAAAAAAUAAACAUGGCCCAAUGGUCACAGAAAAUCAUAAAAAUGCAGAAAAAAACCACACAAGCUCCCAGAUUCUUGCAAACCUCUCCCCAACACCAAGUCCUUGAAUUCUAAACACCCCAACCCAAAAUCCCAAAAACCCAAAAAAGUUUUAAAAGUUCAACUUACCAAACAGCUGUAGAAGAAGUUUUGGAAAAGCUUCAAAAAUCCAGCAAACUCUUUAAAAAGCUCAGAAAGGCCACCACACCGCGUGCAAUGUGUUGCUCCUCGAGGUCAAGUCGCAACUGCACCUCUUCAAGCAAUGCACCCUGGGUUUUAACGGUUUUACGAACAAGGAAACAAACUUGCAAGACGUUUCGUCUUGCGAAGCAAGCCCAUAGGGACAUUCGUCUUGCGAAGCAACUCGAAAACGAAAAAACCUUUCGUCUUGCGAGUUUUUCGUUUUGCGAGGCGUUCGUCUUGCGGGGCACCACUGUACUGUUUCAAGGUUUGGUUGCCUCAUCUCAAAAAGAAUAUUGUAGAGCUGCAAAAAAUCCAGAAAAGGCCAACAAAAAUUAUCCAUGAUGCUGGAGCAACUCCUUUAUGAGGAAAGAUUACAUGUGGGGCUUUUUCGCUUAGAAAAAAAAAAUGAGUAAGUUGCAGACACACAAUAGAAGCGUAUAAAAUUAUGUAAGAUGCAGAACAUGUGAAUAGGGUUGGUUUUUUCCUCCCUCUCUCAUAAUACUAGAAACCAGGGGUAAUGCAGUGAAGCUGAAUGGUGGAAGAUUUAAGGCAAACAAAUAGGAAAUAGGAAACCAAUGCAUGCCAAAUCAGACCAUUGGUCCAUCUAUCUCAGUACUAUCUGCACUGCCAAGCAGCAGCUCUCCAGGGUUUCAGACAAGGAAUGUUUAGAGAUUAUGGGAAUGGAAGCCGGGAACUACUACAUGCAUAGCAGUUGCUCUAUCACUGAGCUACAGUCCCCCUAUUAGUUGUAGGCAGCUUUCAGAAAUCAGUCAGGGAGGUAAGAGUCAAGAAGCACACAACAGUCUUGAAGACUUUAUUGCUCCAGCAAAAUAUCAGGCCACCCCAAAGGGUCCCCCCCCCCAUAUAGCCCAGGGGUCAACCUGAAUGGGCAGGGUCUGGAUCCUGACAAUAUUUCACUGUUAGGAAGAUGCUUCAAGCUGUAGUUCUAAUAAUUUACUACAUGGGGCAGUCACACACAGAAUCUGGUUCUAAACUGAUCAGUUCUUGACAUGGUUACUGGCUGAAGUUUCUACAGAAGUCAUGCAGAAUUUCCAACUCAGGAAACAGAUUAAUUUUAGUAGUUCGGGAGGAUCAUGCAACCUUUUGAGUUACACUCGAACAUUACACCUAAACUGAUUAGAAUCUACAGAGUCCUCACAAACUUGAAGAUUGCUACCCAAGGAGAACUUGGCCAAUUGAUAGUUGUCAAUUUAUAUAAAUAAAGAAAAAAAUAAAAGAAAUUUAUAUUUCUUCAUCCCUGGAAUCAGUAUCAUAUAGUAAAUUACAUAGUUUGGAUAAGCAGAUUUCUACAAUGUUUGUCUCUGCCUGAAAGUAUAACAAUUUUAUUUUUAUUUUUGGUUUCUUCUCCUGAAAUACUUCUGUGUUUGGAGGGGGGCCCCCCACAUUAUACUGUAUAGCAACUGCAAAUACGUAGAUUUAAGAGAAUGUGUUGCAGCUGCUUGGAUCAGCCCAACAAAAGGCUUUAUGUAAGAAAUGAAUAUUCCUUGUAUUUUAUUUUUUAAAAAUAAUUAUUUUAAAGUGUAGAAUGUGCUUUGGCAUUUGCAAGAAAUAGAGAAAAUCAACAGUUCUAUUUAAAGGAGCGUUGUUGUCUUACACUGAAAAUGGUUAGCUCUGCAGAUACUAGAAAGGAAACUCUCACAUCUGCCUCAGCGAUUUUCUCAAAAACCUGUUAUGUUACAUGAGUGUAAAAAAAGAAAAAGAAGUUAGAAAGCUUUAUUUUAUGAUUAAUUGUCACUCACGUUUUUUGCUAGCAAGUGCUGACAUGAUUUCCAAACAAGCCUUAUGCUGUGCAAAUCCUUGUUUGUAUCUGAAAGUUUGGGAACUACUAUAUAUUUUUCUAUUUCUACAGAAAGCUAUUGUAGUAUUCAAGUAUGUGUGUACAUAUAUUCCACACUUCUUCCUUUAAAUAAGAGAAUAAAGCAACAAACCCGCCUGAAGUCUAAUUCAAAGCAAAUUCCUCCAGAAAUAUUUUUUUGGUGAUGUAAUCUUCUACCUAUGUACUCUACCUCUUUCUGGAUGCAUUUUUAUUGGUGGGGUGCUAACCGUGUAAAAUCAGUGCUUUUUUCUAAAAAAUGUUUAGGGGUACUCUCAUUUUGACUCAAGAAAAUCACCAUUUUAUAGUUCAAAUUGGGGAAAAUAAAUACAAUAAAUGGACAAAAGUACAAGGAUUCACAAAAUGUUUAGGGGUAUGCAUCCCCCUGCAUCCCCCCAGAAAAAAGCACUGUGUAAAGUAAUGCAACCCAAUCAAUAAAUGUGAGAGGUAUGUAUGUAGCUGUCACUUCAUCAUCACCAUCAUUAUGCUUAUAGUGCCAUUUUAGGUGUCCAAAGUGAUGGUGGCAAGGAAAAAAAUAGGUGUAAAAAGAGAAUUCUUUGGAUGCUAAGAUCCAGGUAUGGGGCAAGUACUCUAUGGUGAGAGAACACCAGCAGAGAUUUAAAACCACAAAACAUGCAGUGAAGUAAAGUGUAGAAAGAGAGGCUGUUAGACCUUUAAAAUAUGUCUUUCUAAGUGAGUUCCAAAAUAGUCCCCUCUUCCGCCAGCAUAGGAAGAAACCACAUGUUUACUAAGUUUUAAAUGGUUUACUUACAAACUCUCUAGUGGGCAGGUACAUGUGCUUUUCCAUAUGUCAGCCAAAAAGCACAGGCAGUAAAACGUGGCUUAGUUACCGUGGUGAAAGUUCCUGAAUUAUUGGUAUGGGAACUAAAUAAUGGCUUGUAGAAGCCAGGCGGUGUCUUCUUGGAGCCACCAUCACAUCACGUUGAGCUUCUCAGGUAGACUGAGGGGAACAAAGUCUUGAUUACCUAGUCCUGCCCAAGGCUGAGUUAAGCCUGGCAGGACAGCUUACUUUAUGGUCUUAACCCCUUCAUGCAUAAUUAGACUUAAGCAUGUUCAUGGAAUCAUAGAAUUGUAGAGUUGGAAGGGACAAUGAGGGUCAUCUAGUCCAACCCCCUGCAGUGCAGGAAACUUUCACCCAACAUGGGGCUCGAACCCAUGACCCUGAGAUUAAGAGCCUCAUGCUCUCCCAACUGUGCUGUCCCAGGCAUGUUGGUUAUAUGAAGCUGGUUACACCACAAACCCCUUCUCAGGCAAAUAUAACAAUUGCAUGCACAAUUAAUGAACCACCCAGAGUCCCAUCUUGACUCAAAAGUUCUCAGAACUGUCUCUUGGUAGUGGCUUGGUCAGAAUGUUGGCUGCUAUUUCUUUGGUUUGACAAUGCACCAAUUCAACAAGUCAAUCUGACAUUCCUCUUCUCUCGCUGCUUACUUGGUGUGCUGUCAUGGGAGGGCGGUGAGUGGAUAGGGACAGAUCCCUCUUGCUCAGAAGUCUACAAUGAUCACUUGCAGAGACUCAUAUAAAAUUAAACUGAGGUCUGCAUGUUGCCCACUCCUGAACUGAAGCACAACUAUAAAGUUUGGCUGAUUAAACUCUGAGGGGGUUUUAUUUUAAAAAAAUCAUAUCCGAUAUUUUCUCCAUAGAGCUCAAGGUGGGAUACAUGGCUCUCACAUCUUGCAUUUUAUCCUCACAACAACCUUGUGAUGUAGGUUAGGCUGAGAGACAAUGACUGGCCUAAGGUCAAACAAUGAGCUUCAUAGCUGGGUGGGGAUUUGAACCCUGGUAUUCCAGGUCUUUAAUUGCAAUUCUAUGGUUAUUUUGCUGUUUCAUUGUUAGCUACAUUAAGGAUCUUUUCUUGAUUGAAAAGUGAGAUAAAAGGUAAAUUAAAUAAAGAGGUGGGCUCAAAAGGCCUCAGUUAACUUCUUCUGUAGGUCUCCAGGGUUUCAAGAAAGUAUAUCUCCCAACCCUACCUGGAGAUGCUAGGGAAUGAACCUGUGACCUUCUGCUUGCAAGGCAGACAAUUACCACUGAGCUAUGGCCCUUCCCUAUAGACAGACAUACCCCCAUUAAUUUAUCCUCUCCCUUUCAUCUACCUUAACAAUUCUCAAAUAAUAUGUAUUUUAGAGUUACUGAAGGUGAAUCAAAUCUAUAAAAAUGCUGGAAUCCCCCAAAGUUUAGAUUUGGAACAAGUCCCCAGGAUCUGAUAAAAGGGAUCUAAGCAGGAAAAGCCAUGUCAGAGGAAACCUGGCAAUGAAAUACUUUUAACAGUCUAUGUGGUAAGAUAGUCUAUAUGCUGGACUGAAGUUAAGAAUAAAUUUGCUAAUUUGUGGUUAACCUGGUCAAGAGCAUAACGUCCAUUCUCUUGAGGCCUCUUUGCAGGAAACACCUUUGGAAAUAGGGAACUGAACUUGGAUGAUUUAGCUAAUGCACAACUAACGGCUGUGCUUGGUGCAACAUACAGCAAAUGAAGAAAAGUGUGGCAAGGGUCAUGUCUGGGGCAACCAGAAUGGCUACCCACCUACAUAGACACCUUGCUUAAAGCUGCUUGUAAAAGCUGUAGAAUUUGGUGCUGACACACUGGACAAUAUGGCUUUGGGGGUUUUUUUGCCUAUAAGAACUAGCCAGGACUAGACUCAGGUCAGAGAUCCAGGGAAGCACCAUCAUUAGAAAAACUGACUGGGGAUAUGUUCAAAUUAGGUGCUUGAAACACUGUGAGGUCACCCAUCCACCUCUUGCUGCAUUUCAAGCCACAUUUGUUCACCUCAGAGAGGGGUUAGGGGUUUUUUCAUCUGACAUACAUGAGAUUUCGGGUUUUCUCCACUCCUGGAACCCCACUGGACCUCUUAUUUGUUAUAUUAUUAAUUAUUAUUAUUAUUAUUAUUAUUAACAAUAUACUGCCCAUUAUCCUAGGGUCACAGGGCGGCUUACACUAAAAACACGAAAAUACAUAGCAUAGUAACAAACAAACAAAAUACCCUCACCCCAAACUGUCAUUUGUGCUUGCGCACUUAUCUGUGGCUCUGCAACGGCUGAUAUGGUAUUGUAAGUAAGCAGUAAUGUGAGCAUACCCUAUGAGAGAGAAAGAGAAAAACAUACAUAAAUACAUACAUAAAGUUAUUUGUGUGCCACCUUUCCAUAGUUAAAACCAUGCUCAAGGUGGCUUACAACAUGAAAAAAAUACAUAAUUACAAACAUAACACAAGCAGUCAUAAACAAUAAAACAUCCAAAAGGACACAACCAAAUUAAACAAUUUCUGUUAUGUUUUUCUAUAUGCUGGAAGCUGCUCAGAGUGGCUGGGGCAACCCAGUCAGAUGGGUGGGCUACAAAUAUUGCUUAUUAUUAUUAUUAUUAAAUCAUAAUAAGGUAUAAAAUAAAGAUACAAAAAAUGAUAUCAAAACCAGCAACAGCAACAGCAACAACAAUCCCUGUGCCAACAAAAAACCCUAAAUAACACCCCAACCCAAAAGUCUGUUCAGUCUCAGCUUUUGUAGCUGGAGUCAGGGCCCUGCACUCCCAAGCGAGAUGGAAACAUACACAGUUAGGUGCAUAAUCUAAAAACAAAACACUUUUUAUUUUAUCCCUUUUCUUCAUAAUAACACAAAAAGCUGCCUUAUACCGAGUCAGAUCUAGCUGAUUAUUGGUCCAACUUGCUCUGUAUUGCCUACACUGACUGGCGGCAGCUCUGUGAUUUCACACAGGGUUCUCUCCCAAACUUAACUGGCUGGGGAUUGAACCUGGGACCUUCUGUGUGCAAAACAUAUGCUCUGCCACUGAGCCAUGACCCUUUUCCAAGGUCAUAUGCAACUUUCGCACACUUAAUCCAUUCACCAGUUCAAAACUUUUUUUAAAAAAAUAUUUAUAAACUGCACUUUCCUAACAACAUCAACAACAAAUUGUUGUUGUUUAGUCAUUUAGUCGUGUCCGACUCUUCGUGACCCCAUGGACCAGAGCACGCCAGGCACUCCUGUCUUCCACUGCCUCCCGCAGUUGCGUCAAACUCAUGCUGGUAGCUUCGAGAACACUGUCCAACCAUCUCGUCCUCUGUUGUCCCCUUCUCCUUGUGCCCUCCAUCUUUCCCAACAUCAGGGUCUUUUCCAGGGAGUCUUCUCUUCUCAUGAGGUGGCCAAAGUAUUGGAGCCUCAGCUUCACGAUCUGUCCUUCCAGUGAGUACUCAGGGCUGAUUUCCUUCAGAAUGGAGAGGUUUGAUCUUCUUGCAGUCCACGGGACUCUCAAGAGUCUCCUCCAGCACUAUAAGUUCCAAUUGUAGUAAAAACACCAGUACUGUAGAAACGUCCAUAAAUGCUGGUUGGUUCAAAGAAAAUUCGCAUUGCAUCUAAAAGAAGGAAUGAUUCCUGACCAAUUUUACUGGUCACUGGUCAGAGAUUGCCACAUGAAAGGCUUGGGCCCUUGUAAAGACCAACUGAAUCUCAGGGUCAUGGGGUGUCUGUAAAAAGCAAAAAAAGAAAGGGUUCUGACCUCCCUUUGUCUCCUCAGCCUGUUCCUCAGACCCUUGUUGGCAUAAAAGAGUCCAUGAGAAAAGUAUCCUUGCAGAGUUUUAUUCUUAAAAGGCUUUGUACAAAAGCGACUGACCAACUGUACACACCAACACUAACUAACCAACCAACCAACCCAACACAGCACAGCCAACCCAACAACAAGCUAACAUUUCUCACUCUAUAUAUACAACUCAGUGCAGGCCGCUGACUCAUGCUGACCCAGCUUUAUUCGCAUUAAAGAAACAGCGGCCAUUUUAGCCGUGACAUGGGGAACCACAAGUAGCGAUCUUAGGUGAUCAGAUGGUCCUCAAGGCACUUUGGGCCCAAGUAGUUUUUAGCUUUGUGAAUUUACAUAAGAACCUUGAACCUGGCCUGAUACCAAAUUGGCAGGUCUAUCUCAGCAAUAGAGUAAUGUGUUGCCAGGAUCCUCGUCCUGUGAGCAGUCUGGCCACUGUAUUCUGCACUAGCUACAACUUCCAAAAUGGAAAGUAACUCCACAUAAAGCAUGUUACAGUAAUCAAGUCUUAUACGAUAGACAAAGAUUGCUUCAAUUGUUUGACAUUAAUAAUUAUAACCUGUGGCUUUAAAUGGUAAUAGGUUUACUUACUCACUUAUAAAGAUGUUUGGGACUGACUGACUUGCUCACUUGAGUGAAAAUCAAAAUUAUUAUGGAACUUCCAGACCACCUAGAAAGCUAAAAUUUGGUGUGCACAGAAUUCCAGGCACUUACUGGAAUUAUCUGCACUAGAGUCUUACAUUUGCUGUAGAUUUUAGCCAUAUUCAUUAUUGCUGGAGUGAGACAAAAUCUACAAGGACCUUUUGACGUUUUCAUCCAAGUGUUCCACUGCUACUUUCCUUGGGGGCAGGACAAUUUUCCAGCUCAGAUUCAGAGCUGGAAAAAUGGGUGUGGGGAGGUGCAGAAGAAUAGGCUGAAGAAUAAAACAUUUGGUUAUAAAAGCUGCAUUGCAAGUAUAGAAAAUGUUUUCUUGCAGGCCCACCUAGUGCAUAAGCUUGCAACUGAUAUGUGACAUGUGGAGACUACUGGCUUGUGAGAGACCAAUCUCUCUCACACAAAGAGAGAUUAUUGUUGAUGAAAAAAUACAAAGAUGUUUAUUAUAGGAAGUACAUAACUUGAAUAGGAUAGAGGUUCUAGUUCUAAGCUACUUUACUUAAGCUAGAGAAAACAAAGGCAGCCAUGCUUGACCCUUUGUUCUCAGGAGAAUAGCUCCAAGUUGACCUUCUGGCUUGAGGUCCAGUGUGUGAGAGAGGCAGAAGUUGGAGAGGAUGCCAGCUAAGAAUGUCAGAGCCCAUCCACACUUUUGUUUUCCCUGUGUGUUCUAGUAUUUGUUUCCAUCUAUUAUGACAGGUCUGAGAGGUUUCUUCUUCUUCUUCUUUUGCUCUGCUGCUUUUCCCAGGUAGGAAAACCCAAUGUUUACUGCUGAAUCAAAUCUUAUGAAAUCCAUGGAAAACCCAAAGGGAGUUUUGUUCCUCUUCCUAAAUUGCUCCCAAAAUAGCUCCUGAACAGGUUUCCUUGUUCUUUCUGGGGAGUGGUGUUUGGGGUAGUCUGCUCCCACUCUUCUUAUUUCCCCGCCUACCCCUCAAGCAUCAUUUUUCAGUUGUCUCUCUUGUUUCUGAGCAUCUGCAUUGAAGUUCUGCAUGCUUACUGGGGGGAAUCUGUUUAGCACUCAUGUAGAAUUUUUGAUUCUAUGGUACAUGCGCAAAACACGUAUAUUUCUUCUGAAUUUUAUACUCAUCUGUUUUCAGUUUAUAUGUCACAGGUUUCUUUUUCUGUUUUCCUUGCCCUACCUUUUAAACUUUAAUAAGUAUUGAUAGUGGAAAUGUUUCAGCUCCUUUGUAUGUUGAACAUCAAAGCACAAAACCAGGGGAGGAUUCCACUUCCUUGCAGAAAAUUGGGGGCCAAAUCUGCAGGUGGCAAAGUCCUCUUCCCCAUUGUAUCCUAUCAUGUAAUUCUUUGGGGUGUGUGUAUGUCCAGGUGCUUCUUAUACAUUCCACAGCCCCACUUGCAAUGUACAGUGGUACCUCAGGUUACAUAUGCUUCAGGUUACAUACGCUUCAGGUUACAGACUCUGCUAACCCAGAAAUAGUACCUCGGGUUAAGAACUUUGCUUCAGGAUGAGAACAGAAAUCGUGCUCCAGCGGUGCAGCAGCAGCAGGAGGCCCCAUUAGCUAAAGUGGUGCUUCAGGUUAAGAACAGUUUCAGGUUAAGAACGGACCUUUGGAACGAAUUAAGUACUUAACCCGAGGUACCACUGUACAUUGUUGGUUGUUUGCAAGGGUGGGGAGAGAAAAGAACUGAAAAGCAACUUUUGCUUUAUUUCUUAUCUUUAUUCCUUUUUUUUUACUUGUAUUGUGUAGACUCUUCCACAGGUGUCCAAAAAAUAUUAUGUUAUUCAAUUCAACUCUAGGAUCAAGGCUUCCAUUACAGUUGUAGGAGAAAAGGGUUUUCCUUAGACAAGCUGUCAUUAACUGUAGAAAUCCACCCCUCAUGUGCAGUUGACCUGCACUGAUACCUGAAUGAAUCUGGUAUGUUCUGCAAACUUUGUGAACAAGUUGACAUUCCUGAGCAAUAAGCUCUACCACAGAAUGAUGGCCCCUCCCCUUUCCCUUUGGGGUUAUUCCCAGGCGGUUUAUUUUUCUAUUUACCAGAUGCUUUACACCCACAAACCACACAGGAAGCCUGCUGAGGACUGUUAGACCAGGGGCUAGCAAAGCCAGUGGAAAUGACACACUACCCUUAACAGCGGCUGUAACCCACAGUUCCUGUGCUUGCUGGUCAUUCUUCCUUGACUCAGUCCUCUCCCUCUUGCUUCUGGUUGAGUCCUAGAGGGCUACAUCAGACAUGGCAACAGCUGCCCUCUGGAUGGAGCCCUAGUGCCACAGCUUAAGCGAAAGGGCUGCAGCUCUGUGGUAGAGCAUCUGCUUUGCAGGCAAAAAGUUCCAGGUUCAGUUCCCUGACAUCCAGAUCAAGGGCAGGGGAACUUUAUCACCCCAAGGGCAACCUUCUGAGAGCCACAUGCCACUGGUAGGUGGGGCCAGAGGCAAAAAUGAAUGGUGCAAUUAAUGUAAAUGUUACCUUUGUACAGCAGACUAGUUUCUAUGCUACCAUUACAAAAACACCAGAAACCAUGAUUUUUUUAUUGACUUGCCUAAGAUCCAGGACAAAGUGCCGCCUUUCAGAAAUCUCCCCGGAUGUUUUUCCGCCUUUGAAAUCCCGGUAAUGUUUGGGAAAAUCAGAACGUAUGGCAGCCUUAUCUAUGCAUACCCCUCUCUGUUCUCCAAUGCAGACAAGCAAUGGACAUGAUCAGAAUUCCAGCCAAGCAGGGGCGAAUGAAGGCGUCGUAACACCCGGGGUGGGGCAUCGCUACGUACAACGCAUGUGCUGUACGUAGUGACGCCGCACAUGCGCUGUACAUAGUGGUUUGCCGCCGGCGGUGCUCCAGCGCUGUACAGACAGUGCCGGGAUCCUUCCGUCGCCACUAUAGCCACGAACGGAGGAUCCUCUACAUGCAGCUGUAGCGGUGAUGGAGGGAUCCCACAUUUGACACUCCAGUACACAUGCAUGAACUAUCUCAAAUCUAAGGAUAGAACUUACGCAUUGCCUGAGAUGCAAUGCUUUUUGGUGGAGCCAUUUCAUGUACCAUGGUGCAUGCAUUGCUUUAUCUCUCUGUGCUUGAAAACUAGCAGGUAAAGUGCAUGCCAAUGGUGGGCAGGGCCAGAGGCAAAAGUGGGUGGAGCAAUGGAUGUGACUCUUACCUUUUGCACAGUAGGCUUCAUUCCAGCCAUGUACAGCCCAAACGUUUCGGCAAACUUCUCAGCAUGCACACAUCUCUCCAAUAGAUACAAGUAAGAGGCCUUAUUACAGCCCAACAUUCCAGCCAGACACUCAAGGACAGCAGGGAAUGUGGCCCUCCAGGCUUAUCUAUUUGGCCCUUCUCCAGGUGAGACUCCCUGUGCCUAGGUCACAAAGCCCUCCUGGCACUAUUCCAUGUCUUCUUUGUCUGUCUGGGAUGUGUCUAUGAACUGUGAUAAGACUUCUUGCUUGCCUGGAUGAAGAUACAUGAAGAUACGGUUUGGAUUCUUAGAUCACGGACUGCAGUUUCUUGAAGAUGGACUUCUGGCAAGCGAUGGGCUGCACCUCACAACGGUUGGGAGAAAUGUUUUUGCCAAAAAUCUCAGAAACCUCAUCAGGAGGGCUUUAAACUGACUAAUGUGGGGGAGGAAGACAGUGCUCCUGAAGGUAGGAGUCUAUCAAUUGAUGAAGAUGAUCAUCCAAAUGUCAUAGACCAAAUGGAGCAAACAGCACACAGACCUAGUGGUGGGAGGAAAAAAUCCUUAAAUAAGAGUCACGGGG
Molecule: non-coding RNA, 58954 nt
Organism: Podarcis lilfordi (Lilford's wall lizard)
Lineage: Eukaryota; Metazoa; Chordata; Lepidosauria; Squamata; Lacertidae
Source: the annotation of a GenBank genome assembly